This 56058-nucleotide long non-coding RNA is filed under the name Arabidopsis lyrata. RNAcentral describes it as "long non-coding RNA (ALYR_LNC001554)". The stretch from base 16413 to 16719 matches the Rfam family "Plant signal recognition particle RNA". The record is from RNAcentral. Lineage: Eukaryota; Viridiplantae; Streptophyta; Magnoliopsida; Brassicales; Brassicaceae.
UUUUAGUUUGUGAGUUCAGUAACACUUUGAGCUAAUUAAUACUAUUAGUUAAUUUCAGAUUAGUUCAGGGAUUGCUUAUGUUUUAACCUCAACAACCACAACGAACGAGAACGACCAAGCCCUUCUUCCGCUGUUUAGGAAACGAUGAUUGUUGGUAUACGUUUGGAGUCGCCAACAGGGGAAAUUCUUGAGCAAUCAUUCCGACUAGCAUUUCCAGCUUCCAAUAACGAAGCAGAAUAUGAAGCAUUGAUCGCUGGUUUACGCCUCACUCACGGGAUCGGCGUCAAAAAAAUCCAAGCUUAUUGUGACUCGCAACUUGUUGCCAAUCAAUUCAGUGGCGACUAUGAAGCUAAAAAUGACCGGAUGGACGCCUACCUCAAAGUCGUCCGAGAGAUGUCCCGCAACUUUGAACUCUUUGAACUCAAUAAGAUUCCACGAAGUGACAAUGCGCCCGCCGAUGCGCUAGCUGUACUUGCAUCCACGUCUGAUCCCGACCUUCAUCGCAUCAUCCCUGUCGAACGCAUCGAUCAGCCUAGCAUCGAUCUACCUAUUGCAGCAUCCGUACCGCCCGCACCAGCCAUCGGUCCUAACGUGCAUCCAAUCGUCUACUUGCUCAACAAACCGACAGCUUCAACUCGUUCCGCCAGCACUCAACUUGUCCUACCAAACAAUGUAUCUGCAAUCACUCCACAAGCCGACCCGGUUGACUCCGAUUGGCAAACAGAAAUCCGCAACUAUAUUGCCGAUGGUAUCGUGCCAGCUGACAAAUGGGCAGCUCGACGUCUACGAGCGCGCAGCGCACAAUACACACUCCUUGACGGUAAUCUUUGUCGUUGGACCGCUGCUGGAGUGCUCCUCUCCUGCAUCUCCGGUGAUGAGACCCUCCAAGUCAUGCGUGAGAUCCAUGAAGGCGCCGGCGGUAAUCAUUCCGGCGGUCGAGCAUUAGCACUUCGAAUCCGUAAACAUGGCCACUAUUGGCCUACCAUGAUUUCGGACUGCGAGAGGUUUGUUGCUCGUUGCGAAAGAUGCCAGCGUCACGCCCCCAUUAUUCAUGCACCAACAGAACUCUUACGAACUGCUACACCGCCAUAUCCGUUCAUGCGCUGGGCAAUGGACAUCGUCGGACCCCUUCCUGCAUCCCGCCAAAAGAAAUAUCUCCUGAUCAUGACGGAUUAUUUCACUAAAUGGGUUGAGGCAGAAUCAUAUGCUCGUAUUCAGUCAAAGGAAGUUCAAAAUUUCGUUUGGAAGCAUAUCAUUUGCCGCCACGGACUACCAUAUGAGAUCGUUACCGACAACGGUACUCUGUUCACCUCAUUACAGUUCGAAGGUUUUUGCGCAAAAUGGCGUAUCCGUAUAAGUAAGUCCACACCCCGUUAUCCCCAAGGAAAUGGCCAGGCUGAGGCAACAAACAAGACCAUCAUUGAUGGACUCAAGAAGCGUCUCGAGGAGAAAAAAGGUGUUUGGGCCGACGAACUUGAUGGUGUGUUGUGGUCCCACCGUACCUCUCCACGCCGAGGAACCGGCCAGACACCUUUUUCGCUUGCUUAUGGGCUGGAGGCCAUGGCGCCAUCUGAAGUCGGCCUUUCUACAAUCAGACGAUCCAUGCUCGUCCGGAAUCCUUCACUCAACGACAAGAUGCUCCUCGAUAACCUCGACACCUUCGAAGAACAGCGCGACCAAGCUCUCCUUCGCAUCCAGAACUACCAGCAGGCCGCAGCGAAAUUUUACAACAAAAAGGUGAAAUCUCGAUACUUUGCCGAAGGCGAUCUCGUACUCCGCAAGGUUUUCGAAAACACGGUCGAAGUAAAUGCUGGAAAGUUAGGCGCUCAUUGGGAAGGUCCAUACUUCGUCUCCAAAGUCGUCAGACCCGGCGUCUACGAACUCUUAACGAUGGACGGCACCCCGAUCCCUCGCUCUUGGAAUUCCGCGAACCUCAAGCGCUACUACUACUAGCGCCUCCCUCGCGCUAAAAAAAAAAAAAAAAAAAAAAACGAACUACGGUUGGCUUGAUCCCUUCAAACGGGUACGUAGGCAGCCCUUCCUGAGCACAGCUAAAAAAAAAAAAAAAAAAAAAAAAAAAACGAACUACGGUUGGCUUGAUCCCUUCAAACGGAUACGUAGGCAGCCCUUCCUGGGCACAGCUAUAACAAAAAAAAAAAAACCGUUUCGACGAUUGACCAGCUCCCACAUCGUCAAAUUACAUGUAUAAAUCAACGACAACAUACUUACCACGAACGAGCUCUUUCGAACGAGUCCGCCUCGACGAUUGACCAGCUCCCACAUCGUCUCCCUGGCCAGGAGUUCGAUUUAAACGCGUUCCACAUGGAUGCAGUGGCGAAAUAAUCCACAUCCUUACUUCGGUAAGGACUAAAAGCCGAGCCAGUCUCGCAUUAGCUAGCAGGCGGCCGAAUCAUAUUAAGCCAAGCUCCGGCUUGCACGUUCUUGCCGACCUCAUAGCACCCACAUGAUAAGCCGGACACCAGAACCGCACCUAUAUGGUACGACUAGUCCGCCUAGUCUACUUUCUACUAAGCUCAUCGUUCCGGCUCAAACGUAUACAGGAUAAGUCAAGAGACGUCUUGCCCCACAAUACGUUUCGAAACUAAGCUUAAAACGCCAAGGAUACCUCGCACAAAAAUCAGCCGAGAAUAACCUUGCAUCAAAAAUGACAAAGGCACAAAAAGCUUCUCUCAGCACGUAAAAGUCAAGCGACUAGACGGGAUAAGCCGAGCUGCAGAUCGCACCUAGUCCACAAUUACAAUGAGUACAACAUAAAUAACAAGCAAAGCCAAGAAUAAAUUGAAAACGUCAUCAAUAAAAAGAAGCUGCCGCAACCGCGAAACAACCAUAGUACAUUUAAAAAUCCGCAAUACAACAAAACCCAACACGGGGCCAACCGUACAUAAUGCCGAUCCGAAAAGCUACAACAAGCUAAAAAGCCGGACAAAAUCUACGAAUACUGAAAGAAGAAAUAGCGAAUAUCAAAUCCUCAUACUCAAAGAGAUCACCAAGGCACCAGCAACCUAAGCACCAUCUCCCUCCACUCCAGCCUCGGUCACCUCCACCGGUGCAUCAUCCGCCAACUCCGGAAAAGGAGCAAGAUCAUCAUCGCAAAGAUCGGUAAUCGUUAGCGAUUCAACCAUCGCACGCCAUUUAUGCUUAUCAGCUUUAAGUGCCGCCAUCUUCUCAUCCGGAACUGCCAAGCCGUCGGCGAUAAAUUUCUUUAGGCACUUCCGAGUACCCGUAGCUUGGCACUGCAUGAACAGAGGAUCUUGCGCGGCUCGACAAUCAAGGAUGUGCUUCCUUAACCUCUCAAUUCGGGCAGUGUACUUGGUAAUCUUUUCCUUAGCCCGGUUUCGUUCAUAACGAACAGCAGAAGUACGCGAGUCCCUUAGCCUAGUCUCCUCGGCAGUAGCCUUCUUAAGCUGUGCCGUAAGCCUUUCGACCUGCUCCUCGAGAUUUCCGACCUUUCCUUUUUCCGAGUUCAACGCACGCAACCGAUUUUGCGCAGAAAAACCUAAGGUCUUGUUCUCCGCUUUAAGGGCGACCGUUUCCUGUUCAAGAUCCUUCGCUCGGCGAUCGUAAAAAUCGACAAGAGCGUUUCCGGCACUGAUCGACUGAGAACAACAAAAAAAUCAUUCGAAGAACUCAAAAAAUAGAAAGAAGAGAAAUGAUAAAGACCUGUCCAAAUGGAAAUCCAACGAACCUGAAUCUGCUUGCAAGCCCAAGUCUGAUAAAGAUUCAUCCCCAGGAGAGAAUCAACGGGAGGAAACUCGUGAGGAGAUCCGUACACCUUGCUUGCGAAGUCACCACAAGAACUCCUGCUAACCGGAAAUGGUUCGUUUUUCUUCUCAUAGUUGAACGAGAAGGAAUAGUCAACUCCCCGGACCUCUUGAGCAGAACUCCCCCGUUCUCGUACGAUACCAGAAGACUCCCGCGAAUGGCCUCCAUGAGAAACCUUCCUACGUAAGGAAACAUCAACAUCGGGGGGAACACGAAAGGUGGCCUCGUUAGUCGAACCUGACACCUUCUUCUUCCCGGAACGAGCAGCAGAGACCCUAGCCGCCCUGUCCUCGCUAACAGCUCGACGGCCAGGAACGACCGCAGUUCUCCCCGAAACAUCAGGACCUACGUCUUGCUGCGGCUCAGCCACCAGCUGCGGCUGCACAACUCCUUGCUCCGACUCUUCAUCGAUCUGGAUAGUCUCGGUCUCGCUCGGCACUAUACCACUCACCCCGAAUGAGUCAGAAUAAUUCGGAAAUCGACAGCUCGCUUUCCCCAUCUCCAAACGUGACGGUGAACCUGCAAAACACUUUCGUAUAAGAGAACGAAUGCGAAAUAAUCAAACAAACGAACUAGCAAAGGAACGUACGAAUACAAGACGACUUGAUAACUCCUGGCCAAAACAAGGAUCCUCUCGUCCAAAUCGCACGUAGACCCACAGAUAUAUCGUUGCGAGCUUUACGUGGUCGAGGAUCGUGCGCUGCAAACAGAAAACAAAAUACGAUCAAAAACCAUGCAAGCAUUCACUUCAUGUAGUCGUAUCCAAAUAAAGUCUACCGGGAAACAAGUUCCACUCGGUAGCAAGAGAAGAGCUAGAUGCCGGAGCCGAAAUCUCAGACACUUGCACGUAGAAAUAAUAUCACCGCCAGUCGACAACCUUACUUUUCACCCCAUGAACUAUCUUGUGACUCGACCUGGCGUUCACUUGACAAAGACCCGGGUUAUCUGCCAUAACAGAGAAAGUAGUAGCUUCUUCGAAAAGAUCGGUAUCGACUUCUACACCACAGUCGUUCCCUAACAUCAUCAAGCCAACUGCAUUGCGAACCGAACCAAGAGAAAGCUGAGAAAAAGCGAUCCCCCGUCGAAAACAAUAUUGCACGAGAAAAUCUGGGAGAGGAAAGCGAAGUUGGCCGUCAGUGAAGUAAUCCUCGUAUACGCAUAUAUAUCCUUUGGGAGGAUUCCAAGGACGCCGAUGCGGUUUCGGCACCAUAAUCGCCAAAUCCUCGGGAAAAAUUCCCUGCUCGAAUAAAUCGGUUAACCUCUCUACAGUGCAUAACGAUUUCCCGCCAUCACGCGCAACAGGAACCGACGUCGAUCCGAUGCCAAGCGUAGCUUAUUUUGGACAACAAAGCCCCAAAACAACCGACCUCUUCCAAACAUCUCCAAUAGGGUUCGCGGUAACUUUGCAUUCCAUAACUUCGUCGCCUCCGUAUUCACCGCUCUUUCUCGACUUAUCGAAUCUACGAUGCUCUUCAAGUUGGCUCAGAGUUUUUCCGAUGCCACAGUUGGUAACCACGGGAACCAUUCCCAAUAAAGUGUCAAUCUCUCCCAAGUCUCCGUCAUCAACUUCACCGGAAUACUCCGCCAAAUCGCGACCACCAAAGUCCUCAAUUGACAAGCCAAACUCAUCAUUCCCCCCAUAGUGAACUCCUUGGUUCGCUACGUCACCGUUCAUACCUAACCAUUCGCGAUUCAUCGUCAAACCAAAACAAGUCGCGGGUUACAACGAACGAUCCACACAAUUUCCCUCCUCUUCAAACCGGUUCACGCUAAAACCACCGCCGUAAUGACCAAACCCAAGCUUGUUCUCCGAACGGACCGCCUCUUGGUCUCCUUUACUUGCACAAACAAACCACCGUUCUCCACGUCGCAAGCCGCCGAACCAAGUUUCUUGCCGAACCAACCUUCCCGCCGAACCAAGCUCCUCACCGGUUCAACUUCGCGCCGAACCAAACUCUUCGCCGAACCAAACCUUCCCGCCGAACCAAGCUCCUCACCGGUUCAACUUCGCGCCGAACCAAACCUUUCACCACAUCUCCUUCUCCACCGAACCACAACCACACAAAAAAAAGAGAGAAAGCAAAAGAGAUAAGGAAGAAAGAGAAAGAAAGUUUACCUUUUGGAAAAGUGAAGAGAUGAAAGUGGUAAAAGAGUAAAAGGAGGGGACAUAUAUAUAGAGAAAAGUGUCAGUACCACGCGCGUUUACCGAAGUAAAAAAUCCACAGUACAAAUCACCGGAACGAGCUUCGCGCUCCUCGAAAAACGUGCCCACAGCACAAAUCACCGAAACGAGCUCCGCGCUCCUCGAAAAACGUGCCCACGGCACAAAUCGUCGGAACGAGCUCCGCGCUCCUCGAAAAACGUUCCCACGGCACAAAUCACCGGAAAAAGCCAUGCGCCCCUGUUUAAGCCAAAUCAACAUAUAUCCAAUUCAGAAGACACGUUCACCAGAUUCAAGAAAACUCUCGUCUGCUGGACUAGGGGGGGGGCUUAUUGUUGGAUAUGGGCUUCACCCACAAAAUGCCAUUUGGCCCAAACAGAGACCCAACUAUUUAUCGGGCCUGUUGUCUCUCCAAUUCAGCCCAUCAAGUUUGGAGGGUAAAAUGGUAAUUUACUGAGGGAACAGAAGAGACCUUAGGUCACAAUGAUUAACCUAUAAAUAAUACACUAUUGGUAACAAGAAGACCCAGUGGUUAAUAUCCAGAGGAUUAGAGAAUUAUUCACAGCGUAUACUUUCGUUCGUAGUUCUCUUCGUAAACUUUCGUUCGUUAGUCAUAGUUCUUUGCGUAUACGUUCAUUGGUUGUUCGUAGCUCAUCGUCUGUAUGUUCGUCAUUUCUCCCUGUAACUAACCGAUCUCGUUCGUCGUUAAUAAAGAAGUUACUUCGUUCUCUCCGAAAAUCCUAUAGUUAUUCGUUGUUACAACCUCGGUACAAACAAUGAUGUUAACUUGUAGUAAAUAUUUUACGAAUGGUUGAACAAACCUAAGCUACUUGGAUUCAAUGUGUCAAUUUUUUACUGCAAAAUUCAAAAAUGUGUCAGGGUUCGUCAAAUAUGUAAAUGAUAUAAAAAGAUUAAAGAGAAAAAUAUGGUUGAUAUUUUAAAAAUUUCUGUUCACUCAACUUUUCUCUUUAAGCAAACCGUUGCACAAGUUGUAAAACCGUUUAUUUUUUCUUUUGAAUAUAAUUUAACAUUAGAUUCAAAAAAAAAAAAAAUAUGGUUGAUAUUAAAAUGUUGCAAUAACGGUGAAGCCAUGCCACAUAUGCUUUGCUUCAAAGUCAAGGCACAAGAAAUGUGCAUCGUUGACCCACCAAACAAUACCAUGCCGGAGACUUGUAGUUUUUCAACAUUCAAAGAUCCAAUAGAGAAAUUGCUCCCAAUAUUUAAACAAAAAGAAGACAAAGAUCCCAAAUAAAAUUAAUUGAGAAAUAUAAACGACUCACAAUUCUUGUAAAAAACAAUAUUGUAAGCGUUCAAAAAAGGAGAAUGUGAAAGACUCUAUUUCGAUAAUUAGUAUAUUAUAAACUGUAUAAACAAAAUAAUAUGUUUCUCUUACAAAUACUUUAAGAAUGAACAUUGAUACUUUGGCAAUGACUUUAAGAUAUACCUUUCACAUGACUGAUCGUAUAUAGUAGCUUUGAAAACAACUAAGAACAACUUUUUUGCACAUGUUAAUGUUAUCUGUUUCUAUUAAAUUCUAUAAUAAAUAAAAUUGUUUUCUUCAUGCCUGCAUUUACGGCUACAUCUUUGCCACACCUGUUAACAAUUCUUGGUCGAUAAAAAUAAUAUUUAGAGAUCCUUUUCAUAUUUUGUAACCAACGUAUAAACAUAUGUAAUCGAACAUAAGAAAAUCCCAUUUCUUCAUAUAAAUUCCCAUAUACUAUAUCAAAUUACUAAUCUAUGUUAAACUCGUUUAUCGAGUUGAUCUUAAUUUAGCUAAUAGACAAAACAAAACCGUAGGAAUUUACGUUAGUGAAUUACAAGUAAACGUAUUGUGACAAAUAGAAACUCUCAAAAAGCAACAAACAAUAAAAGUGUGAGCAGUUUGUAAUUCUUAUGUAUAUAAUUUGAUAUUUUAAUUUAGUACUUAAAUUUGGUAGGUAAAUUGAUCAAAAUUAAGUUGAUGUACGCAUGUAUAAUGUGUUUAAUUUCUAUGAACAUUUUUAAGAAAAUUCCAUUUCAUAUGUUUGACGGUGGAAAAUAUAUGAAAAACGGGAAAUAAUUUAUUUAUUUUCGUCGGCAAAGUUGAAAUUAGGAAUAAUAUUAUUUUUACAGAUUAGAGAAACGCGUCAACACAAAAGAUUAUAUUCCGAAGAAAAUAAAUAAUUUAAUUUAAUACCUGUAGUGGGCCUAAGCCAAGCCCAUUAUCCAAACAUAUAAGUGUAGAGGGAAACAUGAAGCAUCCGUUGUGGUUUCGAUAGGGAAGAAAAAAAAAACACAAAAGCGGCGUUGAUUUUUUUCGAUUUUCCGACAAGAAAAAAAAAUUCAAAAUUUCUCGUGAGAAGAUUUGGUCUGAAUCUAUCUUUCGAGAGGUUUUGAGUUAAUUUUCAAAAUGGGUUUGGAGAAAAAAUCUGCAUUGUUGGAAGAUUUGAUAAAGAAAUGCGGCGGUUGUGCGGUGGUCGACGGUGGUUUCGCUACCCAGCUUGAGAAUCACGGCGCCGCCAUUAAUGAUCCUUUGUGGAGUGCUGUUUCUCUCAUCAAAAAUCCUGAACUCAUCAAAAGGGUUUGUGAAAUUUUUGAUUUUUUCCUCAUUUCUGGUUUUUGAUUUUAUCCCUAAAUUUGAAAAUUACCAUCUUUAGGGUUUGUUAUGAUUAUCUUAAGCUAUGAAUUUGGAGAUUGAUAUAUUGGUGAAAUCACAGAUCUCUGGGUUUUUAUUUUUGUAUAAUAAUGGAUAGAGUUUGAUGAAAUAUAUUUGUUUAGGUUCACAUGGAAUAUUUGGAAGCUGGUGCAGACAUUGUGGUUACUUCAUCUUAUCAGGUAAAUUCUGAAGCAACCCAAUAUUUUAUUUGAUUUGUUCAUUCUCUUUCGUGUUUAACAAUCUAUCUAAGUUCAAGGUUUUGUAAUUUCUGGUGAUUAAAAGAUUAAGACGACAGAAAGAUUUGUAGGGUCAGAACUUAGAAAGAUACUUUACGUCAAGAUUGAAGAAGUCUUUUUUGGUUAUUGUAAAGAUUACAAAGCUUGUUUUUUUUCAGGCUACUAUCCCGGGGUUUCUUUCGAGAGGUUUAGCGAUAGAAGAGAGCGAGUCUUUGCUACAAAAGAGUGUACAAUUAGCUGUUGAAGCUCGUGAUAGAUUCUGGGACAAAGUGAGCAAAGUUUCAGGACAUAGCUAUAACAGAGCUCUUGUAGCUGCAUCUAUUGGAAGCUAUGGAGCUUAUCUUGCUGAUGGCUCUGAAUACAGGUGCCUUUUUAAGAAUUAAUCGAUUCACAUUACAUUUAUUUUGGUUUUGAAUAGAUUCAAGAUUCUCUCGAUGAGGAACUUAUAGUUGUUCGAUGUUCUUCUUGCAGUGGAAACUAUGGUGAGAACGUAAGUUUGGAUAAACUAAAAGACUUUCAUAGGAGAAGACUUCAAGUCUUAGUGGAAGCUGGUCCUGAUCUUCUUGCUUUUGAAACCAUACCAAAUAAACUCGAGGCUCAGGUUCGCUUUUGCCCGCCUAUUAUUGCUUCUUACAAAAAUGUUGUUAUCAGUCUUUUUUAAUUUUGUAAGUCUUCAAAUUUUCAGGCGUGCGUUGAGCUUUUGGAAGAAGAGAAAGUGCAGAUCCCAGCAUGGAUCUGUUUUACAUCGGUAGAUGGUGAGAAAGCUCCAUCAGGAGAGAGCUUUGAGGAAUGCCUCGAAGCUCUUAACAAAAGCAACAAUAUAUAUGCGGUUGGUAUAAACUGCGCUCCUCCUCAAUUCAUCGAAAAUCUGAUUUGCAAAUUCGCUAAGGUAAGUAGUAGUUUAAACUUCUUUUAGAUUGUAUCACAAACCUACAUCAAAAGUCUUACUUUCUGUGUCACUUUCUUUCUUUUCAGCUGACCAAGAAGGCAAUCGUUGUUUACCCAAAUAGCGGAGAGGUUUGGGAUGGAAAGGCGAAACAAUGGCUGGUAUGUUGUUUUCUCGCUUAUUUUUAUCUAAUUUCGGAAAUAAAUGUAUCCGUAGAAGAAAAAUGAUCGCACCAGUCUCAUAAGUCAAUCAUAGUAGCUAUGGAACUGCAUCAGUGACGAUUUGCAGUCAAACCUGGACCGAGCAAUUCAAUAUUCAGAAUCUAGAAUGAAUGAAUAUAAAAGUUACAGUCUUGUUGAAUUAUGAUCUAUAAGUCUGAUUUUACUGCAUUAAGGUUGAAGAAAUGAAUCUCUUCUGAUUUUUGGGUGAUAUUUGGCAGCCAUCACAAUGCUUUGGUGAUGAUGAAUUUGAGAUGUUUGCAACGAAAUGGCGUGACCUUGGAGCUAAACUCAUAGGAGGAUGUUGCAGGACUACACCUUCCACCAUUAAAGCUAUCUCCAAAGAUUUGAAAAGAAGAUGAUUUUUCUUCUGGGAGAAGAAGAUUGAAUCUUCUUUCAACUUGUUAACUAGCUUUACCAUUGUUAGGGCUACAUUUAUCUGUGUUCUGUUGUUUUCUUGUUGUUCACGUUUCCUUUGUUGUCUGAUAUGUAUCCGCAAACUAGGCCUUGGGCUUUUUCAAUGUAAUGGCCCAGAAAGUGUUUUCUUUAUAAAAAAUUACCCGAUUUAAAUCUUUAAUACCCAGCAGAAUAAUUUAUUGAAUAUAGUUUCAAAACAUUUAAAUUGUUUACUGUUGGUUUAAAUUUUGUAUAUAGGUACAGUUGAUAGGAAAUGUGUUCUAGUGUCCCAUUUAUGUUGUAAAUAUUUUUGUUUCACAUAAUUAGAGUUACUAUUAGAAAAAAAAUCAGAAACAUAAUUCCUUUUCUUUUUUGUCGAAAAAUUCCUUAAAUAUUGUAUGUAGAUAGUUUCUUUGAUGAAGUUCAUCAUAUUUAUUGUUCUCUAAGGGUUUUAUGGCUUAUAAACAAUAAACAUUGUAUCUAUUCUUUUAUUUAUUAUUACCAAAAAGAAAGAAAAAAGAUCUUCUGAUCCACCAAAAUUCUAGACUUUCAUAAAAUAAAUUAUGUGGGUACCAAACGAUUCAUGUUUGUUGUACAUCAAGAUUUAAAAGCAAAAAAACAAACAGACAAACAAAUUAUUAACCGUACAUCAUGUGAAAACAAAAGAUCUUAACGUUUUAGGUAAGACAAAUACAAUACUUACAUAAAAUGUCGAGAUAUCGACCGACUUUAUACCCUUUGUUAGUAGUUCAAGGAAAUAAUAUUGUAGUCGUACAUUAGCCAAUGUGUUAAUAAACAAGUAAUUAAACCAUAUAUUUUGUCUCGUAUAUGUAUAAGGUUACACGUUACAGUGUCAUCUUAUUAUUAUUUUUAAGGUCAAUUAAUUUAAACGGAUAUAUAAAAAAUUAAACCUAAAAAACUUAGAUCAUCAUACAAAAUAUUGUGGCUGACACCAUAUUAUGAAUACCAAAAAACAUAAGUUAAUAGCUAGUAUUAUCUUUAUUGUCAAAACGUAAUUUUUGCACAUUUGGAUAAUACAUUGUUUUGCAAAUCUGUUUAUUAAUUAUUUUUUCUUGAUCAUUCAUAGCACAUAUAAAAAUAAUUAAAAAAUAAUUUUUUUUUAAAUAUAUGUGAAGAAACUCUAAACACCAAAAUUAUUAGGAACCGAGAAAAUAAUAUUUACUAAUUUAAUUCAAAAAGAAAACAUCUACUAAUCUAGUGAAAAUAAUAAAAAAGAGAUAUUCAAAGAGAUUCUAAAAUCCAAACAGAAAGGAACAAAGAGAAGACACGAAAACCCCUUCGGCGCAUAUUACGUGGCGCUUCACACAUUGGUUACUACUCUGUCUCUCAUAAAACACCCAAAUUCGAGACCUCUUUUUCCUAAACUCUUAUUCUACAAACUUUUUUUUUAUUUAGCUUCAAAUUUUUUAUAUAUAAAUGCUUGACUUCGUAAUUGAUUACUAGAAUACAAUCAAGUGGCAAUAAGAUGGAAGAAUUUCGAAAACUGCAAGUCCUAGAUAACAAAAUGAAUCCAUAGAACUUGUUUUGACCCAUGUUUUAAGGAAACGGUAGGAACUUAUUACUAGAAAAUUAUGUAUUUUUAAUUUCUAAAACCAUUAUAAACACUUUCACUAAAAAAUUGUACAUUAGAAAGGACCAUAAGAAUACUAGUAUUUGUUUUUGGAAUGCAUCAUAUAUCAGUUCUAAAACGUUAAAAACAAAAAAUCUUUCAUUAUUCUUUGACUGUUUCUACAUUUUUUUAUUACUCUUGGAUUUCAAUUUAAACAUAUUUACAAUACUCUUUCUAUUUCAAAUUAAAUGUUGUUUUGUAUCCUAAAUUUUAAUUUAAAAUACGUAUCGUUCCAUAUUUUCUAAUCCAGAUUCUGAUAAAAUUACAUUUUAUUCUUAUUAAAUGUUACUAGUAAUAAAGGUUAACACAAAUAUUUAGUUUUUUUUAAUAUAUAUGUCAAAACUUUAAACGACACUUAUAUAUAAACAGAAAAAUAAAUUUUAUGUAUAUAAAUAAUAUUCUUUCGACUUGGUUCUUCGGACCUUAAUUUCAUCUAACUACAAAGUUAUUGAUAAAAAAAAGUAUUACUCCCUCCGUUUCAUAAAGAGAGUCGUUUUAAAGUUUUAUUUUUGUUUCACAAAGAGAGUCGUUUUAGGUUUUCAAUACAAAAUUUAAUGAUUUUUAUGUUUUAUGACUAUUAGUAUUCUGCAUAUUGUCUUACUAUUGGGCAGAUUAUGUUUAGGUAUAUAGUUAAUGAUGUUUUUGUUUAAAAAACAAAAAAUUUAAUGUUUUCUUAAUCUGUGUGCAAAACUCUAAAAUGACACACUUUGUAAAACAGAGUAUUAUUUUCAAUCAAAUUUCGUACUAAGCUUUUAGUAGGUCACGUUGAUUUCAGUUUUACUUAUUCCCAUGCAUGAAGCUUUUAAUUUGGUCAUUGCAAUCGAUUACAAGUUGUCUCCGUUUGAUUUUAUUAAAGAAUUGGUACAAUGGAGUUAGUAUUAUAUUUUAAGUAUACAAGAAUAAUUCCAAAACGCUACCGUCCAUAACAUUUCUUUUAUUUAAUCAUUUCGUGAUUGUUUAAAAAAAAUCUCAGAUGUCUCGUGUUCACUAAACUUUUCACUAGUCCGCAAAUCCCAAUGGUUAUUAAACCUUCUUUAAUAGUAUUUGCCAUAAUAUACCUAAGCUAAUCAAACCCUUUCACAAAAGAAAUAUCCUAAGUUAAUCAUCAAUUUAUCGAUCGAAGCUUAUCUGUGAACUGUGAUCGCUAGAGAAAUGUAUGCAAUGAAAUUGAUUUUGAUCUUUACGAAUAGAAGAUUCAAUGCCAUGAUGAUUAAUUUAACACGUAAAGCUUUGUAUUUCUCUUUAUCCGGUUUACAAAGUAUCAUCAUAUAUAUACAAAUAUGCUCAUGUUUAUUACACCAAAUUAUAUAUUUGGUCGAGAAGUAAACUAAAAUUUUGGUUUCAAAAUUUACACUGGAAUUAUCGAACAGCAUUUUAACAAAACAGAAAAAACUCUAAAACCUAAAACAUUUGUAUUCGUUUAGAAAGUUUAUAAACCGGUCUCCUUAUUAAUUAGACAAAUUUGACUCUAGAGCCUUAGGUUGUGGAAAUAGGAAAAGCUUUUGGAUUUGUCAGUGGCAAAAGCAAACACACUUUUAUGACUCAUAUAGUCAUAUAAAUACUUACGGUCAACACUCAACACCACUAUUCCUACUAGAAAGUCAAAUAAUCCGACGGUGGUUAAAAACUCCCACCAUGCACAAUUUUUCAUUUUGCUCUUCAAAUUUUAUAGCCGUGGUUUUAGUUUUGAUUGUUGUUACAAAUAAUUGCAUCAGUAACCUAUUUUUUUGAAGUUAAAUUCCCUGGGCCAUGCAAUAGAAUAUUUAACUUGAGUAUAUGAUCUAUGAAUAUUAAAUAUAUAUAAUCUCCCGGUUUGGUGAAAAUAAAAGAAUGUACAAAAACAUAUUAAAUCACACAAACAUUCUAUUGACCAAAAGUAAAACCAUCUCUCUAUAUAUCCAUGUAUAUAUUUCUAUGAACAUUAAUCUAUGAGUGUAUAAUUUGGAACAUAGUUUCAAUCAAUGAUAUUUAUAUACUUUUAAUUUGAUUCGCUGCUAAUGAAUGUGUUAUAUCAUCAGAAAUGACAAGUUACCAAGAAGAAAUGAUCAGGAUUUUUAUUUUAAAACCAGGACUCUGUCGUCUAAUAAACAACAAUUAUUAGGGGUGAUACUCGUCAUCUUAUGCAGAUAUCAAAAUGCAGAAAAGCAAUUAUAAAAUUAUAUAAACUAUAACAUUUCCUAGGAAAAGGAUUAUAUAUGAAAAGGUUAUAGAUCAGUGAUUAAAAUAUCCAAAAUACCCUCGUUUUUCCCUUAUAUUAUCGAGAAAAACGUAGGUAUUUUGGGUAAAAUACACUAGUUGAUUGAUCAUUAACAUAAACAAGAGAAGAAAAUAUAAAUAAAAAUGAAAAAUAAAAACAUCAAGAAACUGCUUCUACUAGUUGUGCAGGGGAUCUGGACAACUUGGUACUAUUCUCUUACUCUCACUGAUCCCUUUUCCGACAAAAGAAUCCACCGGUGGAAAUUUCCCGGCGCCGAAGUACUUCUUCACUAGAUCUUCUUGUCUCUUAACCGGAGCCGGAGUUACUGGAAAUACCCGAAUUGCCCCUACCCGUGAAUAUACACAGAAGAGUUGGAGUAGAGGAGAAAGCAAGAUCACCAUUAGAAGAGUAGUAGUCAAAGAGCUUCUCCAUUCUCGAGCAUGAGUCAUAUCCCAAACCUAAACCCUAACCAUAAAGUCGUCUUCUUGAUUAAACCCUAAUCAUCGAUUCUGUAUGUCUUCUCUUCUCUGGGUUAGAUCUACCUCCUAUGACUAUUUCUGAAGUUGAGAGAGAGAGGUAAAGAGAGAGAGAGAGAUUGAAGUUUUGUUUUGUGAGAAGAAGAGUGGCUUUCAUGCAAAUUUUGAAUGGCCCACGUGAAUGGUUAUAUAUAAAUACAAGACAAGAUCUGAGAAUUGAUUAAUUUCGAUUUUUUUUUGUUCGUUUCAUUACUAGUACAUUAUUUCACAUAUCUAAUUAUGAUAAAUAGUGGUAUAGUACUAUUAUUGGUCCAUAGUUUUGGUGUUCAAUUGUGUACAUACAGUAUUAUUUAAGCUGUACUAGCAUUAUUUAAAAUAGUUUUGUCUCUUAUUAUGGAAUUGUCAAGAAUUACAUAUAUUGAUUUAUAAUUUAUAUAUAGAUUUUUUAGAUCUACGGAAAACAUAACUUUUAAGAAAUCAAUAAAUGCAUCACCCACCAACGUACUCACCCAUAUUUGGUAUGAAUUUCAAUUUGUUGUCGUUUUUGAGUUGCUUUAUACAUAGAUGUAGAAUAGGUUUACUUUAGAACAUUGAUGUAAUAAUUAAGUGCAUAACUUAUAUAUAUAUAUAUAUCACACGAAACUGUGAAUUUAAUGGGUUUCAAUGUGGAUCACUGGAUCUUAUGUUAAAGAAAAAACGUCACCAUUCCUUCUUUGAAAAAAAUAAAAUAGUGUCAUGCAUCAUUCUUGACAUACAUGACUUAAACAGUUAAGGCCGGUAAGUGGCUAUGGAUAGAGAAUAUAUUUUAAAAUUGAUAAACAUUUGUGUGAAUGGAAUUUUUACAUGAGAUUUCUGCUAUUCAACUACAUACAUACUAGGUGUUACAAAGAUUAAAAUAUCCAACAAAGAAAACUAUAGUAUUUUAUAAUGUAAGCGUCUUGUAUAUAUCUUGAGAAAAUGUGAAGAUAGUAGUGUGACGUGAGCAAAUAGUGAUUACGUUUGGUUUUGUCCCAAUACAACACAAAAAUGGUUCGUUUGGAUGUUUGAGAUGAGUUUGGAAAAAGGGUGUCGUUUCAUUAACUGCACUUUGCCGUUUUGUGUUUGUUUGUUCUCUUUAAUUUCGUCUCUUCUUCUUGCUUUCUUUCGCAUCUUCCUCUUCGUGUCAGAAUUAUGCAAGAUCCCAUCAUCAUUAUUAUUAUGUGACUCCAAAAUCUCUUUUUUUUUUGUAAUCCUUCAGAUAUAAGGAAUUAUAUAAUUAUGGAUAUCAUAAGAAAUCUGUGAUUAAAGACAUAUAUGUUUGACAAUGAUUAUUAAUAAUCUAUGCGAAUGAAGAAAAAACAGAAUGAAAUAAUUCCUAUUAUAUAUGUUGGAUUAGUCGAUAAUUUGGCAAAUUGGUUGUCCGAAGAUAAAAAAUGAUACUUACUUUCAAAAAAGAAUAUUAUUUCAAAACAACACUUAAUUUAAAAUAAGAUAGAAUAUUAUUUUUAUUCACUGUUAAUAUGCUAGCUAUUACUUUUUUCCAUGUUAAUAUUCUCUUCAGAUUAAGUCUUUUCGUCUAUAAAUUUGUGUAUAUAUAUAUAUAUAUAUAAAUAAAUCCUCAGUUUCAUUUUUAUUAUACUAGUGAAAGAAACUCUCUUUUUAUUUUAUAGGGAUGUGUCGUGUGUGUAUAAAUAUAUUUGGUUUAAUUAAUUGAUAAAUAAUAAAUAAAUUGGUACAAAAUCUCAAAAAGUCCCACAUCGGAAAACGUGAAGCAAAACAAGUUAUUUAUAUAUGGAGAGAGAGGUAACAAUGUUCGCUGAGCUCAGUAACGAGAGCUUGUGACUCAAGUGAGGGCAAAUAUGUAGUUGGGACUUUGGUUCGGUACAAGGGGUCGGGUUCAGGCUGGGUUUUCACUGACUCGCCCAAUCCAAGCCAGGAGCUGUGCUACGUGGUUUGAGCGAAGGUUCGGAUCUCGUGGCUCUUAAAGUGGAGGGUAUUGCGUGAGGCUGGUUUCACAGAGCAGCGAAUACCUCCCGCUUCCGGCAGUGUAUGGUUAACGAGUCGGAUCCGCUUGGGCCCAAUAUGAUUUCAUGGGCCGAUCUCAAUUGGACCAAUUAUUUUUAAAAUUUUCAUUUUAUAUUAAAAACCAAUUUUUUCCUUUACGAUCCUCCAAAUUUCCAAUAACAAUUGUAGGUGAAACUCAACAAAUCAAAAGACUCAACAAUUGCUUCACUAAUAAAAACUUCAUAAUUCAAUUCCAAACAUAAAGAAGUCUUAAUUUUAUAUGUAGAACUGGUGGAUUGUGGAACAAACUAACCAAGAGGAUAUGAAGUAGAUAAUGGAUCAAGAUCGGUCAAUGAUUCAUUCGAGAGAAGGAAAAAGAAAGAUCCAACUCUAUAACAAGUAGCAACAUCAAAGUUCUUAAAUGUAAUACUUAGUUUUGAAUAUUGGAUCUUGAAUAGUUUUUCCCUGCCAUGAAGAAAUGAAAAAGCUUGAAACCUCAUCGCAUUCACUCAUGGAUUACAUAUAAACAGUGUUCAAGAAAGCGCUAGGCGCUAAGCGAGCGGUGACCCAGUGCCUAGCGCCUAGAACGCCUAAUCGGGGCCUAGACGAUUUUUUAUGCGGUUUAGACGUUUAUAACAUAAAACAUUAUCAAUAUGAUAUUAUAUAUAAAAGUUAUAUAAAAUAUCUAUAUAAAACUAAAAAUUAUGACAUUAUAAAUAAAAAUUAGAUAAAAUAUUUAUUUAUAUUUAUAUUAAACAAUAUAUGAAUAUUUAUAACUAUAUAUAUAAAUAAAACUCUAAUUGAAAUUGAAAAAAUACAUUAAACAAGAUCUAUGUAAUUUUAGGCGGUCAAGGCGGUUAUCUAGGCGUCGGAUGAGAGCCUAGCGCCUAGUCGACCGCCUAGACCGCUUUUUAGAACACUGCAUAUAAAUUGAUUUAUAUUAGGACUAUGAAAUAAGCAUAACAAGUUUCAAGAUAAAUCCAAGAAUAUCAAAUUACCAUUUCUCAAUAAAUCCCUUCGCUUCCCCCAUUUUUUCGAUUGAGAGAGAUGAGCAGAGAAAUGAGUGAGACAGAGAGACUCUGCCUUUUACUUGGAUUGUAGGCUUCCACCUAAAAACCAAACCAAAACAUAACAAACCAAAACCACAAUUAUCAAAUUUGAAUUCGAACCGAAUUUUGAUAUACCAAAAAAACCAAAUUAUUUUAAGUGACUUUGAAUAUUCUACAAUCAAAGGGAAUCAACCAAAUUUGAAAUAAAUUAAUAUUUUUUUUAAAAAAAAGAUAUAGAAAAAUAUAUUUUUAAUUACUAAACAAUAAUAUUUUCUAUUUACUUAAUAAAUAUUUAAAACUAUUUUGGUAAGAUUUCUAUUUUAAAUGCUACUUCUCAAAUUUCUAUAAAUAUUUAAUGUAUUUUUUUCAAAAUUCUCCAAAUAGUAUUUGUAUACAUCAUUUUUCUUUCAGCAACAUUGUGACAAUUAUUUAAUCUACUAAAAAGUUUUAAUUUAAAUAAUUUGUAUGAAUUAUGAACUAAUAUCACUACUUUUUUCAAAAUAAAUAAUACAAGCCUAAUAAAUUCAAGAUUCAUAAAAAAAUAGUCAAAAUUUAACUUUAAAAUCAGAAGAAAAUAAAAACACAAGACGUAAUUCAUUAUUAGAAAGAAACAUGUAGAUAAAAUGUCGACACGAAACUUUGUAACGUUAUAUAAUAAUAUCUCUAGCUGUUUCAUUGUCUUUUCUUCAAAUCCUUUUCUAAUUUCAUUUUUUCCUUAACAAAAUUAAUUAUUGAUUUCCUAAAUUAUUUAUAUAUCUUGCAAAAAAAAAAUUAGUAAAGUAAAGUAGCCGCCUCAUCCUCGUCGUCUCUCUCACCUCGUUAGCUCUCUCGAUGAGGAGCCCGAUUUAGGGUUUCCUCCAUUGAUUAUAUCAGUUCACCAUCAACCAUCGCCACCAAAGCUCUCUCAAGAAUCUUUCGGUGAUCACAUCUUCUUUUUCUUACUCUCUCUUCAUUUCGAGUUUUAGGGUUUUCUCCAACAUUGGCGUUUAUGAUUCUCACUUCUUUCGGUUGUAUGAAUCUGUAUUGAUCUGGGUUUUUCUUUAAUCGAACUAUUAGAUGAUUCGAUUUGAUAAAGUUUUAAACUUUCGUUUGCUUAGGAUCUCUUGACUAGACUUUUCGUGCUUCUAUUCUCAACCCGAUUAUGCUAUGAACUCCGUUUUUUUGUGCGAUUGCGGAUUUGUAUAUAUGACUAUGAAACUGUGUAUAUAGAUCUAUAAAGUUCUUCCUUCAGGCAUGUCAAAUCUCUGGAUUGUUGUUAUUAGCAAAUGCAAAUUUCAGUUUGAUGUUGCUUAUGAGAAGGUUACUUAUUAUUGCAGGUUUAGGUCACUUUGUUUGGAUUAUAACAAGGGAAGUUAGAUAGAUUGUUGUUAGAUCUAGAACAUGCCGAAAGAGAGGAAAGACCGGUCGGUAUCUCUUGAUAAGUAUAGACGAUCGCCACUGUGUUGUGAGUCUAGCUGUGGUUUGAAGCCGAGUGAGAAACAAGUUAAGGAAUGGGAAGAGGCUCGUUGUCCUGUUUGUAUGGAACAUCCUCACAAUGGGAUUCUUCUCAUUUGUUCUUCUUAUGAAAACGGUUGUCGACCUUACAUGUGCGAUACUAGCCAUCGGCAUUCUAACUGUUUUGAUCAGUUCCGCAAAGCUUCUAAAGAGAAACCGUCUUUGUCUUUACUUCAUGAGGAAGAGGAAAGUAAUGAACCAACUGAGAUGGAAGAUGUAGCUUCUGACUCAACUGCUGUAAAUCUAAGAGGAGAAGCUGCAUCUGAGUCAACAGAUGUGAGUUUAAGAGAAGGUGAGAGAGGAGAAGAAGAAGAAGAAGGUGAGAGAGGAGAAGAAGAAGUAGUAGAAGAAGAAGGAAUUGUAGCAACAGAGGAAGACCAAGAAAAAAACAAACCGCCGAAGCUUACUUGCCCGUUAUGCCGUGGACAUAUAAAAGAAUGGGUAGUUGUUGAAGCAGCUCGAUAUUUCAUGAACUCAAAACAUAGAAGCUGUUCGUCCGAGACUUGUGAUUUCAGCGGAACCUAUUCCGAUUUGAGAAAGCACGCAAGGCUUCUGCAUCCAGGAGUUAGGCCAUCAGAAGCAGAUCCAGAGAGACAGAGAAGCUGGAGGAGGCUAGAAAGGCAGAGAGAUUUAGGGGAUUUAAUUAGCACACUCAAUUCUUCUUUUGGAGGAGAAGAAAGAAGUAACGACGAUGGGAUUCUAUUUGAUGGUAGCUUGCUUACAGUGAUCUUUCUCAUCCGCGUGUUUAGACCAGAGUCGAGUGGCUCAAGGAGUAGUAGUAGUAGCUGGUCUGGUGCAUCUAGAGCUAGGUCACAGAUAGGUGGGAGAAGAAGGCCACAUAGACCUCCAGGGCUUUGGGGAGAGAGCUAUGAAGGUAAUACAGGAACAUCAUCUAGAGAUGAGGAGAAUAAUAAUCAAUCUUCUGAUGAACAAGAGUCUGGAACUCGGAGACGACGUCGUUCUAGGAGAAGAGCUAUCAUUGAUGAUGACGAUGAUGAUGAUGAAGAAGAAGAACAGUGAUCCUACAAUUUGGUCUUUGGAGUUUAUGUAAAGAAUAUGGGGGAAACUUAGUAGUAAUAACCCCACUUCUGAAACCCUAUUCUGUAAAAUUGGAGAUUGAAAAAAAAAGUUUCUACUAUUGAGAGACAAAAUGUUCAAUUAUUCAUACCGUUUUACAAUUUUUUUUUAAUAACGACUCUUUUAAAUAAGAAAAUGUAUAAUCAUCUCUCGACCAUACAAAAAGGAGUAAACGGAAUUUGAAAUUAAAAAGAGCUAGAAAGUAAAGUAAUUUAAGCAGAAGCUGCUGGCUCUGAAGUUGCUUCUGCUGCUGCAGCUCUCUUCUUGGCAAAGUAUUCAUCUGCUCGUGCUUGGUUCUUUGCAACCGAUGGCUUCACCCAUUUCUUUCUUCCGGGCAACACAGUGAGUGUACAUCCUGAAGCUUCAAGCUUCUCUUUUGCUUGUGUUGAGAAGGCGCGAGCUUUGAAGGUGAGCUUCAUGCUUAGUUCUCCGGUACCCAGAAUCUGAAAUCCAAGACCAAUCAAAGCGUUUAAAUAGAGAAAAAGAUGAAUACAUGAUUGAAAAAAGUAGGAUCGAAAGAAGCAAUACAGUUUGGAAACUAACCUUUAAAGGGAGUUUCCUUUCCCUCCCUGAAGGAUUGAUCAAACCCUUUUGCUUCAAUGUCUCCAAUGACACUUCAUCGCCCUCCUGAAACCCAGCUGUUUCGAUGUCUUUGAGAUUAACCGGUAAGUAUUUGGGUAAUCCUGAACGCAUACCUGUUUAAAGAACACAGCAACGCAAUGAAUGCAUCAGAAAAGUAAAGAGGGUAUGGAUCCAUGAAAUAUCUCUAUUCACUAACUACAAUCUUGAUCCUUAAUUCUCAAUUCUUGCCUUGAAGCACUAAGACUCUCUUAACAUUGCCACAUAAAGAAUCUAUGGAACAAAUCUGCCCUAACUAAAUAAACUGAAAGAAGCAUCACCAAAUUUAAACAGAGCAUUUUGGAUGAGACAUUUCAUCGAACACUUAGCCUACACAAAACUUCGAUGAUUCAGAUUAUAUCAAACAAAAGAAACUUUUUACCUCCGGCGAUUCCUCUAAGUUUGGGAAGACGACGAUAAAGAGCAGUUUGACCUCCUUCAAAGCCUCUCAUAAUCCCAGGACCCGAUCUUGAUUUCUGACCUCUCAUACCAAAACCACAACUUGCUCCUUGUCCUGCAGAUAUACCUCUACCUUUUCUCUUCUGCCUCUUUCUAGAACCUGGUUGUGGUCCAAGAUUAUCCAAACGGAAUCUCUCCGGAGCUACAACUUCCGACGUCGCCGCUGCUUGACUAACCACAACAAGUGGUCUCGCAGAUUGUUGUUGCUUUCUCGUUUUAAGCUUUUGGUUGAGUUUUAGAGACAGAAUCUGACUUGGGUUUGCUCCCAAAACGCUUACAUUUCCCUGUAGACAUUUCAAAUUCAGAUUUAGUAGCGAGUGUGUGUUUAAAUUGACAUUCGUAGAAGAAUGAGAGAUUACCUUGAAUGAAGUAGAAGGAAAGUGGAGACGGUAACAACGGUGGGAGGUGAGAGGAUUUGAUGAGAUUGAGAGUGGAGUAGCCAUGGUCACAGGGAACAACAGAUGAAAAAAGCUUCAAGGAUAAGGAUAGAGAGAGAGAACUUUUCUUGAGAAACUUAAGAGCUAAACGACACCGUUUUAAAAGCAUAAACACUCAAUUGUUUAUUGGGCCUUUUCGUUUAGGCCCUUUAGUCUUGUGGAGAAUUUCAAUUUGAAUUACUUGGUCCGAGUUUUGGAUAUUAAAAAAGAGUCGUUUUACUCGUUCGUAUAUUUGCUUUUUUUAUGUUUAAACAUAAGAGAUUACAAACAACAUAUGGUAUUGGGAUGGUUGAGGAUCCGAAUCUUAAGACGUAAAUUUGCAGAUGUUUUUAGUUCGAUUUUACUUUAGACAAAGUCGUUAUACAUGUAGCCACUUGAACUCUGCAAGUCAUGCGGACGUUAGCGGAGAUCGUGGAGAUCGAAAAUUGUCUUUUCUAAAUCGUUUUAUAAAGUUCUCUCUGUUUUCAAAUCGGGAUUUCGCGGUCCUACAUAAAUUAGUCGGGGUGAUCCGGACACCGAUGCCAAUAAAAGAAAAGAUAAGAAAUUAUUACUUACACUAACUUUAUAUAUACAUAAACAUGAAAGUUUUAUUUACACAUAACACAUAAUUAUAAGUUCAACUACAACCCCAAAUCAUAAUAAUCAUUACACAAUCUCAACCACAGAGAAAACUAUAUAUAUAUAUAUUAGCAUUUUGUUACUUCCUCUUUAAUCUUAUAUAUUAGCAUUUUGUUACUUCCUCUUUAAUCUUUGCUUAGUGUUUUCGUCACGACAAGAAGAGAACAAUCUGUAUUACGUGUACACCUGCAUUUUAUUAAAAGAUGUUCAUUAUCACAACUUUUUCGUACACUCAUUAAUUGAAUAAAAAAUAAUUUGAAAUAUUCAUAUGAUUUGAACUCAUGAUUUUUCUUACUUUUUGAGAUUUUGAGUUUGUUGAUCGUUCGUAACUAUUAAAUGGAUAUUUUGAUCUUGAAUUAUCUUGCGGAUUAGAUCUUUAGGAUCUCCAACAUCUGUAAACGUCUCUGCUUUAAUCUGUUUUCGACAUGAUUAUGAGACUAAAUAUUAAAACAAAUAGUUGUUAUGAAAAUAACUUAUUAUUAAAUGAUUUAGUCAAGAGAUUACCCCAUGAUUUAAACAUAUCUCCUUGGCUUUCUCUAAUAUACCCAAAGCAAUUUUCAUAUUCUUUUCUUGAGCCAAUCUUAUGAGUUCUGAAUCUGCAAAACACACAAGAACAUAAAUAAAACCUAAUGAAUUUUCAACAAUAUAGAUUUUUUUUGAAAUUUUUUAAGAAUUAAUCGAGAAAACGACUUACUAGGUGAAAAUGGAUAGAAAAUUUGAGCAAAACCGACUGAUGAAGAAAGUACGGUAGGAGGAGUGAAGGAAUUUUGUGGCUGUGUUGCAAAGAGAAAAACUUUGGAGCUCUCAAUGGUAUCUUUCUGGUUUUCAAGGGCCCAAAUGAGUAAAUCAUAACUUGAAUUACUCUCGUCAAUAAUCACCAUAACAUUCUUCAUCUUCUCUAUUGUUUCUUCUUCUACGUUAUUCUUCAAGCUUGUGCUAAAACCUCUUGUCAAUGUCCAACUUUAUAGUAUAUUUGGAAAUGGAUUAACAUGUCAAAGAAAGAGAUAUAAAAAUAAAAAUCGUAGGUGAUUGGGUAAUUGAAAGGCAUGGUUUAACGACUUCCUUCUUCAUUCUCCUCAUUUACAUACUAAAAUAUAAUUAUACAUACAAAUAACAGAAAUACCCUAAAAUAAAUACCACACUAUUAAAUUUUAUUCCAAAAAUAUCAUUAGUAGUUUAUUUUUCCAAUAAUACAACACUACAUAUAAUAUAAUAUUAAGGGGAUAUUGUUGGUAUGUGAUUUAAAAAGAGUUUUAGUGACUUAAAAUGAUAUGUAGAAUAUGUUGUUAUUCAAUCAAAAUUUUUAAAACAUUUGUUAAAAUUUGGUGUUAUUAGUUUAAGGUUUGUAAAAAAGUAAUCUAAAAUCUUCAUAAAUCUGGAUAUUGGAUUCAUACUUUAAUAAAGUCAAUAAAAGAUUUGUAUUAUUCAAUUAAAACAAAAUAAUCUAUGAUUGUUAAUGAAUUAAAUUAUUAUGUUAUUAGUUUAAUUAUGACUUUCUACACUUUUCUUCAUAAAAUAAAGUCGUGAAAAAUAUCAUCAAAAUAAAGAGAUUGUUGGGAAAUUUUUACAAGAUUAUGAAUAACUAAUCAACAAGAUUAUAGAAAACUCUCUAACAAUAGUUUAGAAUCUUUCAUUUGUUUACUUCAUAUGAUUUUAUUAAAGUCAUCAAAAUUUCUUGUAAAUUAAGAACCAAUAACACUUUCUAAACUUGGGUGUAGUGUGUGCCACAAUAGUAUUGGAAACUCGUUAUAGCCUCAAAUUCAAUCCCACAAUUUGCAAAUUCUAUGAAUGUGUCAGUUCGGUUUUGGUUCAGAUGCUUAACUCGUGAUGAAUUUGUAGAAAACUUGUUACGGAAAAAUUCAAAAGACUAAUCAGAGGCUUAUUCAAAUCCGGAUAGAGACAAUGCUAAGUCUAAAAAAUUAGCAUUAUAUUAAAAAAUAAAAAAACAAUCGAAUAAUAUGAUUUCAUUCUACAACAGAUCACCAAUUCUCAAUUGAAAUAUUCCAUUAAAAUGGUCUUAGUGGACGGUGUUUGGUAAUUGCCGGAUACACGCCAUUGAUGACAUAAAACAUUAUUCUCUUUGUCGGAGAUUUUUAAUCAAAUCAAAUAUUAUUAGAGAGUUGGUAAAAGAAAAAGACACAAUUAGCUUAACGGGCUAAAAAAAGUUUAGUUAAUGGGCCUAAAGGACACUUAUCAAGCCCAUUAUAACCUCUGCAUCUUCUUCUACCUCUGAAUCCAAAACCCUAGCGACUUUUUGUUUCUCUCUCGAGACGCUCUGCUAAAGCUUCUUCGAUUGUGAUCUAAGGUACUCGAUUAUUCUCUUUUUUCCAUUGUAGUUCUCAUAUAGAGCCGUAUGAGUUUUGGGUUUAAACGGAUUUAAUAAAGUCUCGAACUUUCGAUUCUGAGUUUGAUUUUGAAGUUAUAGUAUGACUCUUAAAGUUUUAGAUGAAAAUAAUGGAGAAAUUGAGUUUAAAGAUGGUUACUUUAACUCAUCUGAUGAGCAAGUAUUAGUUUGUUGUUGUAUGAUGCAUUAAAGUCUCUUAAUCUUCUUUUACCAAUUGAGACAUUAUUGUAAAGAAGAGUUAUGUUAUAGGUUUUAUAAUGGAGAAAUCUCGAGAAAGUGGUUUCUUGUUCUGUAACUGGUGUGGGACGAUGCUUGUCUUGAAAUCAACUAAGUAUGCAGAGUGUCCAUUAUGUAAAACAACGCGAAAUGCAAAAGGUAUCAGAAUCUAAACAGUUUUGUUUCUUGGUUGGUUCAAUCUUAUUGUUGUGCUUUUAUCGUCAUUGUUUUACAGAGAUUAUCAACAAGGACAUAGCUUACACAGUUACUGCUGAGGUAUGUUUUUGCUGCAUCAUACAUAUAAUCAAUCGUAUUUGGUUUCGGUUUCAUGGAUAAGCGAAAGAUCUCUCUGCUCUUGAUUUGUGUUUGUCCAUUGUUGUUAGUCUUAUGAACACAGUGUAAAAAUACCAGAUCCUUGCUAUGUAAUUAGUUUCAGACCUGAAAAUGGAGACUGUUUUUGUUAUUCUUGCAAGAAUAUUUCAUCAUGAUCAAUUCCGAGUUAGUAUAUAUAACUCAUGAUCAUUGCUUUUUUUGUAGGAUAUCAGAAGAGAACUAGGAAUAUCAUUGUUUGGUGAAAAAACGCAGGAAGAGGCUGAGCUACCAAAGGUUAGUAAUAACAAAACAGAUUUUUACGCGUUUUUCCUCAGUCCAUGACCUGUGAUUUUGAUGAUACUUGUUGUCUUUGCAGAUCAAAAAGGCGUGCGAGAAAUGCCAGCACCCGGAGCUUGUAUACACGACCAGACAGGUAUAAUUCUCAACCUUUAUGAUUGUGUGGUUUCAAGUUCUUGGCUUCUUGUUUCAAUUUCAAAGUAUUAUGUUUCAUUGGAUUUGCAGACGAGAUCAGCUGACGAAGGACAGACAACAUAUUACACUUGCCCCAAUUGUGCUCAUAGAUUCACAGAAGGUUGAUGUUAUAAUGAUCUCCAGCAUGUGAUUCGGAUUCACCAAGCAUACCAGUUUUGUUCUUACAUUCGAUGUUGCAAAUUCAAUGAUUCAGUGCCAUCAUUAGAACCUUAUGUAUAUGUCACCAACUCAAAAUUUUCAAUGUCAUCAUCAGAAAUAGCUGCAACUGUAAUACAAGUUUUCUUUAAUUUUACUUAUUUUAAGUAGUGAAAUAGAUAUAAUAAAAUAUUAAAAUCCUUUAUAUACGAAAAGAAUAUCCAAAGAAGCACCAGAGGUCCAGAGCAUAACUUGUAUAAGCACGCUCACUAAAUUUACACAGACACGUCAAAAACUAAUCUUAAUCCAACGGCUACAAAGCCUACGAUGAUUUGUUGACCAUCUUAAAUGCACCGUACAUUACAUACACCUAACCACACCAAAUCAUUUCCACCGCUCAGUUUAAAAACAGAACCUGUUUAGGAGCAAGUUUCGAAACAGAACCAUGGAAACGGCGUUGAGUCCUUCUUCUUCUCCGGCGACUCUUCCGUCGUUCCUCCUCCUCUUCCUCUUCGUAUACAUCGUCGGAUAUUUCCUUAUCUUCCGUUCAUGGAAAUCAUCAUCACACUUAGGCGCUAGCUGCUUAAUGUCACUCUUCCACGGCACUCCCGCCGUUAUAAUGGCUUCUCACGCGCUACUCACAACUACACGCGCCUCCGUACCCUCAUUCGCUUCUCCCAACACUGCCGUGGAAUCAACCGUACUCGAUUUCAGCAUGGCUUAUUUCACCGUUGAUCUCCUCCAUUACCUAAUCUUCCUCCCUAACGACUUCAUCUUCAUCCUCCACCACAUUGCGACGCUAUACGUUUUCGCUACGUGUCGAUUCUCUGUCGGUCACGGAGCUCACGCGCUUCUCAUUCUCUUGAUCCUCGCGGAGGCGACGAGCGCGUGUCAGAACGUGUGGACGAUCGCCGGGUAUAGAAAACACGACGUCGUUUUAGCGAAGAGAGUGAGAGAGGUUUUGUCUCCGCCGUUUUACUUGUUUUACACUGUGGUUCGUGGUUUGGCUGGUCCGGUGGCUUUGUAUGAUAUGGCGGCGUUUUACGGUAGUGGUGCGGCGGAGGGAGUUAUUCCACGGUGGGCUUGGUUAUCGUGGCUUGUUGUGAUUGGUUUUGCUAUUUUUGUUAGUGUUUUGUGGGUUUUACGUAAUUGGGUUGAUUGGUUUAGAGAGAAAAACUUUAGCAAGAAAUAUAAGUGAACUGAUUAAUAUUUUUCCUUUUCGAACAAAAGGAGAAAAUUGUUUGAUUGAUAUAAAUGUAGAUUUUUAGCAAAGUUCAUAUAAAUUUAUUUGAUUGUAUUUGUAUAAUGUACUAUUAACAAUAUUGUACUUUUAUGUGAAUCUAAAUCUUAUUGUUAUUCACUUCUUUGUAUCGUUUUUUUUUUUUUACCAAACUGUAUAUGUGAAUCUUAUGUAAACAUAAAUGAAAUUACUUUUUCUUUUAGAGAAGGAGAAAAUUAUUUGAUUUAUAGAAGUAUAGAAUUAAAUAUAAUUUAUAUAAAAAGUAUAUAAAUAAAUAGGAGUGUUCAUAAAAUUUAUGGAUCUAAAUCUUGUAUUGUUAUUUGUAUUGUAAAGUUUUUUUUUAAUCAAUUUGCAUAUGUGUAUCUAUAAAUAAAUAACAAUAUUUGAGAAGUGUUUUUGCUGACGUGUCGGACUCUCGGCUCUUGUUGAACCCUUGAUUUUGCGUAAUUAAUUAUUCCACUGGAAAUUAUGUAACUUUACCAUAAUAUUUAUUCGUAGAUUAUAAAAAUAAAGUAGAUAUAAGGUUAUUUACUUUUUUCUUAAUGGCGAUAAUACCAUAUAUCACCGUUGACCAUAUCUCUUUAAGAAUAUUUACAUAUAGAUUUAGAGAACAAAGGAAAUAUUACAAUUAAAUCAUUAUGAUAAUGGCGAAUCUAUUUAGAAUAUACAAUUUAUCAUAUUGAUAAUGCCGACUUGGUCUAUUUAGAAUAGAAAUUUCCUUUUUCUGGAUUUCUAGAUAUUUUUAAAUCUUUAAAAUUGUUAAAAGCCCUAUAUUCUCCACUGCCUCUCAGCUCCUAUAAAUACCUUGAUAGGGGUUUUCGUCCCAACUCAUAUUAAUCUAUAGCGUUUUAAACUGUUACAAUAGUUUUAUAUGAGUUUUAAUGGUUUUUAUUUAUGAUCGUAGGUGGAUGCAUGUAAGCUACGUUAUGAACCGAUCGAUGCAUGAAAAUUUGGAUCCUAUUUCGACAGAUAUAUUGGUGAUCUUAUAGAUUUAUAUAUAAUGAUUUUUUUUUUGUUAUAGGAAUUUUAAUAGUUUUUAUUUAUGAUCGUAGGUGGAUGCAUGGAAGCUACGUUGUGAACCGAUCGAUGCAUGAAAAUUUGGAUCCUAUUUCGGCCGAUAAAUUGGUGAUCUUAUAGAUUUAUAUAUACUGAUUUAUUUAUUUUUGUUAUAUCAAUCUAUAAUUUAUGUUAUGGUUUCACUGUUUUCGCCACACAGAUUUAAUUGGCGACGUGAAACGAUGCAUAAUAAUUUGGAAUAUGUCAACAAGUGAGUUUCUAUCUUUUAUUUACCAUUUUCUUUUUGCUAUGAAUAUGUGAUUUACGUUAGGAUUUCAAUGUUUUCCUCUAAUUACUGAGGAUAUGUAAUCAAUUCGAUCGAGUACAUCUUUCUAAACAGGUAAAGCAUACAUCGAUUAUUAUUUUUUAAUAGUUUUGGGGUAUUAUUUUGUGUUAUUUGUUUAAUAUAAUAGUGUCGUAAAUUUGUUUUUUUGUAUUUAGGUUUCUCUUAAUUAAUCAAGAGAUGAAUUCAUCAGAGAAUUAUGGAUAUUUGUAUCUCAGAUAUUUACUUUUUUUAAUACAAAAAAGGUUAAACGAUUUUUGGCUUUUUUAAUAGAUUUUUUUUUUGUAUGAAUAAUAGUUUAUUUUUCUUUAAUCUUAUUUAGUAUGUCGUAUAAGAAAGAGAAAUAUUACAAAUAAUUAUUCUUUUUAUUUGAUUAGAUAACAACAAUGUAAAUUUAACUAAAAGGAUAUUUGCUUCCUUUUUUUCUAGAUAUUUUCGUAAGAAAUGAUUUGUCACCUAAUUUUAAUCUAUAUCUCUCUUUUUUUUCUUCUUAUUUUAGUUGUUUAAUACGUUUUAAUUUUGUUUUGGAUAUCAAUGUUUUAUUUAUUAUUCAUAUCGAUUUCUUACUUUCAAAUUUAUCAUGAUUGUUUCAUACAUAUUAAUGGUGUUUUCCCUUGCAGGUUGGAUGUGUGGAACAACUACGUGACUUGACGCAUGCAAAUUUGGAUCCAAUUUAAACUGAUCGAGAAUUAAUUAGUUUCUAUCUUUUAUGUCCCGAUUUUCUGUUUUUGUUAUGAAUCCACCUUUUCGUCCCCAAUUAGGUGUGGAAUUUGAAAGUUUGCUUCGGACGGAAGCAUUUUUGCUAUCCAUUGGGGAAAAGGGUUGGGUUUAGUUCUGUUCUACCUAUAAUCUAUUAGUUUGAUCAAUUUAUGCUUUUUUGUAUGCUGCACCAAUCUUUUAGUAUCAAAAUAUUAAACAAGCUAGGGUUUAUCUCUACACCUUUCAUCUAAUUCUAAUCUUUGACAAUUUUGUGCUUUUUUUGUUUGCUGCACCAAUCUUUUAGUUUCAAAAUAUUAAACAAGCUAGGGUUUAUCUCUACCCCUUUCACUAAUUCUAAUCUAUUUUUCAUUUUUUAAUCUUUCGUUUUCAGAAUCGGGGGAUCUAAAUUUUUUUUUAUAUAUAUAUUUUACCACCAUGAGUUCCUUGAUCCAAAUCAUUGAUGAAAAGGAAGGGGACGUUUAUCUUUUUUAGAUGAGGGCAAACGGUAGAAGAAGAGUGGUAGUUUAGAAAAGAGAAAAGAAAGCUUAUAGGUUAUCCACUAUAUAACAAUGAUUUAUUAUUAUGUUAAUAAUUUUUUAUUGGGGUUUAUAUCUUAAUUUUAGUAACUCUCUUUCUCUUGAAACUCUUUAUUGACAUUAGAUUUUCUGCUCAUUCACUCAUUAGUAGAUGUAGAAUUCUUCUCAUAAUACGAUGAAGAAAGCAUAUACAAAAUGGAUGGAAGUAAUUGGUGAAGGAAGCUAAAGGAUUCGUAUGCUCAGUCUAUUACACGCACCAGAUAUAUAGAGAUGUGUUGCAUGAGCUGGCUAUGGCUAAGUAGAUGUAGUUUUGAAUCCCAUUCAAUGAAAAAAAAAAGCUAGGGUUAAUUAUUUUUUUUAUUUUUUUUUGUCAUCAGCUAGGGUUAAUUAUAUCAUAUGAUUCAUGAACGUGUGAUCUCUUUUAACCUUAAUGUAUUUGUUUUAUGAUUUAGUGGGGUUUUUUUUUUGUUGGUUAUUUUAUGUGAUUAACAUGUAAUCUCCACGUAAAUAAUUCAUUAUUAUUCAUGUGAUCAAUCCUGCGGGCACAACAACUUUUUUACCUAAAUAUAGAUGUAAUUUAAAUUACAAAAAAAUCAGCGUUUAUCAUUUUUUUUUUUUUUUGAUAACCCAGUAUCCAGACCACACAGUGAUCUGACUAGCCCACUGGGCCUAAGCCCACGUCACAGAGAUUUUUAAGCCUCCACUUAAGGGCCCCCUGAUAAACUGGUGGUCUGGGGCGCCUGAGCAAGUCCGCAUGUAAAUUCCCAGGUGGCCACAGGAGUGAGAGAGCGAAACUGCGUCUGGGGAGGAUCGAUCCCUGGCCUAGACCAACAGGGCGUUUAUCAUUUCUUUCUUUUCGAGAACAAUGAUCCGCCAGUAAUUAACUCGGAGAUAAUCUCGACGUUUUGAACUUUUGGGUUCUCUUUUCUUGGAAAAGGCUAGGUUCGAAUCAUCAAAAAAUCGUGGCAGUAAUGAUUUUUUUUCUUUUGUUUGUUUGUUUGUCUUCGUAGAGAGGGAACGAUUCUUGGUGUGAUCUCUUGCGUACGUACUUAUAACACCAUGCUAUAAUUUUUUAAAAAUAUGAUUACAUUGAUGGUGAUGGUGAUUCGAUGGCUGGUAAAGUGUAUUCAAAGUUUAAUCUUUUGCCGGGUAGGAUUGCCAAGAUGAUCUGUCCAAAUUUGAUUAUCUCCUCACUUCAAGUUUUUUCUUUUCCUCCAACGUAAGUUAGAAAUAAUAGUAAAUUGUGAUGUUAUGGUUUUAUGAAGUACGGUCGAAAAUUUAAAUAACAUAUAGAAUGUCGAUCAAAAUUUUUAUUGAUAUUAUGCCUACAUAUGUGUUCACAAUUUCAUGUCAAGUUGUAUGAACCAAAUUAAGAGGGGUUUUGAUUACAAAUCCAACAUGCAAUGAUUCUGUGGUAAAUCUUGCGAGCACUAAAGAUAUUUUUUUGCGGGCACUAAAGAUAUUGUUUGCGGGCUCUAUAGAUAUUUUUUUACCCACAAAUAGAUGUAAUUGUGUUCGUUGGUUGAAUAUUAAAAUUUUAUUUUGAGAUUUGUUUUAAUACAAGGAUAAAGAUUAUAUGAUUUGGAUGAUUUUAAAUUUUAAUGUAUUUUUGUUAUGUUUUUAGUUACAAUGGAAAUUGAUGUGGUAUUUUAUAUUUGAAGUCAUUUUUCAAAUGUACUUCCUAAAUAUAAUAUUUAGGACAAACCCGUCACAUGUUUUCACCCGCCUUCCAUAUUAACAAAUUUGAAUACAUUAUAUGGGAAUUAUAGAGAAUGACGUUGACAGUUCUGAUAAGCGUUUAUGCAUCUAUAUAAAUAUUUAAUUAUAAAUUCGGAUUAAAAAUUAAACAUGUCCUUAGUAAACACAACAAAUAUGUAUUGAAAUAAAGUUAUAUAUUUUGCAAAAAAAAUAUUUGGAUUGGAUAAAGGGUAUGGUAAGUACGUUGCUAUUUGUUAUUCUUUUUUAAAGCUUUAAAAUCGUUUAGUCUUUGGAAUGAAGAAGACUAAAUAUAGAGAAGAGAGUACUCAUCAGAAGUAAUUAAAGAGUAAAUAAUAGAGGUUAAAAAUUGAAAUCUUCAUUGUUAAGAGAGUAGAGUGGAAAUAUAAAUCGAGUAAAAGACAGAAGAGAGAUCCAAGUUCAUGGAAUGCGUAGUUAGGGUUUGAAUCUAUUGAGUGGGGGUUUGACCUAAUGAGGGGAGUAUUCUAUCCAGGAUUGAAUUUGUUUCAGUUUAAUAUACCUUCUCUAGGUUUCACUUUCAAAUCAUAACUAACUCCAUUUUUUUUGCUUUCUAUUUUUUUUUUUUUGCAUUUUAUUUUAUUUGGCUUUACACAUAUUAAUUCAUGGUGUUUAUGUAUGGUUAUAGGUUACGGAUGCAACGUCGUUAAACAAUUACAGGACAAUUAAAUUGCUGAUUCAAUCGAACAUAUGGUGAGUUAUUCACUUUAGUACUUUCAUGUUUAAUAUUUAAAUUAUGCUUGGAUGUAUUGAGAAAUCUAUAAGCUUUCCCAUAAUAUUUUGCGAGCAGCUUAGAUUUCAUAUUCUUCACUAAAAAAAAAAGAAGCUUUGAUUUUGUAUUUACCAUAUUCUUCACUAAAAAAAAAAGAAGCUUUGAUUUUGUAUUUACAUAAUUUGAUAUCAGUUUGAUUAUUGGUUCCAUCAUGAUGCAAAUUACGGCCUCUCAACAACCCUAAUAGACUAUAAUCGUUGGGAAGUCUUCUUUUUUCUCUUGCUUCUCUCUGAUUAUCUUUCACCAGGAGUCUCAGUUAUUAUUAUUUCUUUGUAUUGAUGCGACCAGAAGUUUUAUCUCUUUUUUUAAAUACUGAUCUCUUUAUGGAUUUUUCAUUUAGGUAUGAACAUGGUUCGUUUCACGGGGUGUUUCGGUGUCUUGCCUUGAAUCAAGGCGUGUAAAAACGUAAAGCUUGUUUUUAUCUAUCUUUUUUUUUUUAUUGUCACGUCUUUAUCCAUCUAUGUAAUGUUUAAUCAUCAAUUAUUAUAUUAAACUUCAAUAAAGGCAACAACAUCCUGGUUGGUUUGUUUUAUCUGAUUAGUGUACCAAAUUCAAUUAGAACUAUAUCAGAUCUAAGAAAUUAUUGAUUAUUUAUACAUGCAGGUUAUGUGUGAUCCUUAUACACCAGCUGGUGUUCCAAUUCCAACCAAUAAGAGGCACAACGCUGCUAAAAUUUUCAGACACCCAUCGUUGCCUCCGAGGGGCCUUGGUAUGCUCAUCUUCUUCUUUUUUAGCUAUACAUAUUAUUUUCGUUACUAUAAAUUCUAAUAGUGUUAUUUUUUUUAAACGAUUGUAUGUUUUGGAUGAAUGAAAGCAACCACGAUGCAUGAAGAAGAUUUAGGUGAUGUUUCAAUUAAUCUUUUAUCUUUAAUUUAUCGAUUUUCUAAUUUUACAAAAAUGUUCUCACCGAGUAGAAUAUACUUUUGAGUUUUGAGUUAAAUCUUUCACAGUCUGUUGUGGAUUAGCAACGUUUCAAGCCAUAUUAACUAUUGUGUUGUGGCAGUUCGAAAGAUUCAUAUAAAUUGGACUAUUGCUACAAAGAAAACAGAAUCACAGGUUCAAUUCUAUCAAAAGAGAUAAAGCCUCUUAUCUCUACUGUCUUUGAGGGUAAAGAUGCUAAUGUCAUCGCCCACAGAGCACGAAAUUGCGGAAAAACACAUCCCAUACAUGUAUUGAAAGCAAUCCCAUUAAGGUAUUGAUUAUCAGACAUGAUACUAUAGAUGAAAAAUGCUAAUUAUUGUAUCGCAUGGUUUGUAGGGAAAUGAUAGGGAGCUUGGUUUAACCGUUCUUACAAUGUCUGAGAUGAUAUCCAUGGCUGAGGAAAGAGGAGACUCAGUUUCUGUAUCAGUUUACGAGGUUUCUCAAGAAACCGUGUAUGACCUUUUAGACCAAGAGAAGCGAGUGGUUGCUGUACUGGAAGGUGCACAAGGGAAAAUUCAACUAAAGGGACUUCCUCAGGCAAGUCAUUUAGUGUUCUUGAUCAUUAAUAUUUCAAUGUUUCUGCUUUCAGGUACCUGUGAAGUCACUCUCAUAAUUCCAUAAAGGUGUGAUGAUACAUGUUACCACUGGCAACGCCAAUCCAGGCUCCCUUGGGAGGAUGAACUUUCUUGAUAUGGCAGGUUGAGUAUUUUAAUAUCACAUUUUAAUUGUCUUUUCUUUGUGAUGAUCUUAUGUCAGCAUGUGAUUGGUGUUGUCUUUCUCUGAUAUGAUAUGAGGAUUCUGAUAGAAGCAGUUAAAAGACUAAUUACUAUUUACUAAGGUUUCAAUUUAACCAAGGUUUAUUAUGAGGGUAAACCAUAGUUGGUUUAGCUUUUCUUGUUUGGUCUAUGUCUAUAUAUAAUGUCUGAGAGAGUUGUGAGUGUCUUUUAUCGAGUAAUUGGAGAAAUCUUAGGGGGAGUGGGAGGAGCUCCAUUGUCAAAUUCCUCGAGUCCUUGUAAUUCUCGUCUUGAUAUUCUAUGAAAUACCCUUUUCUAUAAACUACUCCUAUCAGAUUCCAGGAAACAAAACAGUGCUCUAGCUCCUCUAGAGAUUGCCAGAGUUAAUAAGUUGAUAUAUGCUUUACAGAAUGUCAUGUAUGCUCUCAACGGAAAUGAAUCCCAUGUGCCAUAUCGGGAGAGCAAACUCACUCGAAUGCUGAAAGAUUGUUUAAAAGGAUACAACAGACGUUGCUGAUCACAUGAUUGGUAUACUUUUCUUGCUGUUGAGUUCGUUUUAAGUUUAUGAUUCACUGAAUGUAACUGCAGGCGAUGCUAACCCUUUUGUUUUUUUUUAGCCUCGGGAAUAUAGCCAAAACUCCUUUUACAUGUUAAACCGAGCCAUGACUAAUCCUACUAAGAAGAAGAUCUACGGUCUUGAAAGAUCUAUUUCAUUAUGCUCUGCCGCUCAAAGGAGACAGACACCUUUGACUGUGUCUGCUACUUCUAGAAAACAGACAGUGCUAAGGGGAAAUGUGACAGAGAGAAAAGACUAAAAUCAACACUGCUGCUUCUGCAAUUAAAGCAAGGUAAAUCUUUCAGAAACAACUUUGUAUCAACUCUAAGCCUCAAUAUCCAUGAUAUACCUGCAUCUGCUCCGUUGUUCAGUUUUAGAACAUCAAAUAAUGAUGAUUUUUUUUCUCAAUGUUUGAAGGAAACUGUUCCGGGAAGCAAACGAUUCGGUGAAAUGUAAAAAUAGCAUGUUGGAAAAUUUAAUUAAUACGUCAUGAAGUAGAACAAUCUAGAUUCUUCCUUUACAAAGAGGUAAAACAGAGGGUAUAGAAACAGAGACUUAGAGACCAAGAGUCUUAAUUAAGGAGAAUUAAUAAAAAGCAUGUUCGAGAAUUUAAUUAAGACAUGUCAUGAUACGGAAGAAGCCAUGUUCCUUCUUCCUUUAAGAUGUAAAGGCUUUUGGUUUAAGCUUAGCCUUAAAAGAGAGGAAAAACAGAGUAUAUGGAAACGGAGACUAAACCAAAAUUGAAACUUUGUUCCUUGGUUUCGAAAUAAAAGCUAAUUAUAUGAAAAUAUAAGCAUACCCGUCUUUGAAUUAGGAAGGUGCAAUAACGAAAUCGAUUUGAUAUUUCUGAUUGAUGAGAGAAAGGAUAAAAAUUGGAAAGUAUUUAUUUGAAAAAACUUUUUUUUCUGUGGCAUGGUGUUUAAGGAGAAAAUAAGGAAACAGAGAUUUCAUGAAGAAAUAAAAUAGAGCAAGUAACGAACAAGAAGGGACGAGGAAAAUUAAAGCGACGACAUUAGUGAGUUCAAACUAUAAACAAUUAUAUUACUUAAAAUUUAUAUAUACAAUUAAACUAAUUUAUGUAUAUUAUAAUAAUAUAUUUUGAGAGACUUUGAGAGAACCUCUCACUGCACAUGCUCUCAAUACUGCUUUCUAUAGGCACGAGCUGUCGUUCAAGAGGUUCACUUUCUUCCAUUCAAUCAUACUGAUAAGAGAAAAUCUCUAACUAAGAGCAUGAUUAUCCAUAGUGUCUUAGAAAUAAAUCUUAGGAAUAUUUAAGUAAUAUAUUUGUAAAAUAUGGUUCUUAACUAUUUUUUUGUUGCUUACCUAAGAAACCCUCUUAGCAAUAAUGGUUUAGUUGGGAUUUAAUUUUAAUCAUUUAUUGCUAAGAUCCAACUUAAGAAAACUUUAAGAACCUGCCUUUAAUCAUGGUCUAAGAUGCAUAGUGCACAUGAGCAAGUAAAUUGUUGAUUGCCAUUUAACUUCUAUUUCUAAAAAUAUUGGUGUAGAUUCAUAUCAGCUAAUAUUGCCGAUGAUUCAAAUCCAAAAUCUUGAACACAAUAAAGCAAAGAUUAAGUGGAGAGUUAAUACUGUGAUAGACAAUUUUGCUGAAUUAUUAUAUAUCUUAGUUUUUUUAGGUUUUCAUUGGUAGCCUUAAUGAAAACUCGGGCAAUUAUUUUGAGACGGUCCUAAUAAAAAAAGUCUAAUUGUUCCAUUAAAGGAGAAUGAUUUUUUUAUUUGAGUCAUUAACAGUAUUUACUUUGUGUAAUAGUUGUGAGAUAUGAUUUAGUCGGUUUACCCGGUACAAUCAGACUUUCGACAUAGCAAACGAAACCUCUUAACAAUAGUUGUUGAGUUAGCUGCAAAUUCAUCAAAAUAUUUCAUAGAGAACCAACAUUUGGACUUGAUAUACGAGCUGCUACACUAGAAGAGCAAUGGUUUGAACAAUUUGCGAGAUAAUGAAUGUUGUUCUUUAGGAUAAAGUGUGUGUCUUUUUUUGUAAAGGGAUUUGGAGGUACUUGAAAAUAAUUUUUUUGGUUCUCUGGUCAAUUUUGUACGCCACUCUUUGAUCUAGAGGUAUAUAUGAUAGUCCUUAGCAUUGCAUCUAGCUGUAUUGCUUCAUUGUUGUUGUUGUUACUCGGGGACUAACAGUACAUUCGAGGUUUGGUAUACCACUUAACCCUAAUCAAUCCACUACUUACUUGAUAAAGACAUAUUCUCAUCAUGUAUAUUUGAUUAGAUUAGCUAGGCUCGUAAUAUGGGACAAAACCCCGAAGAUGAGCAAGAAAUGCUUUGAAAGAUUUUAUCGUAGCAUGCGUGUCAUAUCUGCACCCUUCGGUGCUCCCUUGUAAAAUCAGAGUAUAUGAGUAUAGAUACUUAAUAGGUUUAAGUGUUCUUCGAUCUUGGACGAUACAUUCCAACUUAUACUGGUCGAUACAGAGGUUAUACAAAUUUUUGGUUUUUCUAAUAAAAUAAAUUGUUUGGUGAAAGAUUGCUAUACCUUUAACAAUUUUAUUUUGUUUGUUUGGGUCACGACAUACAUACUAUAAUUGAUAAAGAGUAUUAUCGUCGCCGUGGAUUCAGGUUUUUCCAAGGACGAUGGAUACAUGGCCGGCCCUAUAGACAUCAACAAGAAACUUUUGCUGUAGCCCAAAUUUUGUUUCUGAAAUUCUUCAACAAAAAUUAUUUACGAAACGGCCCUAAUUUUAUUUAUUUUACGAUAAUUGGCCCUAAAUUUUAAAACCUUUCAAAAUAACCAAAAACUUUUUUUUGAGUAUUUGGCCCUUCAAAUCUCAGGGCAGGCCCUGGAUGGAUAACACUUAGAGAUUUUGAUUCAUGUUAUCGGUUCGCUUAGUCCUACUUUUUAUGAUUUUAAAAUUCAUUGGAAUUUAUCAAUCUUUGUUUCACAUAUACCUUCCUUGGGUGCGAAUGAUUACUGCGCAUUCGCAUCUUUUAGGAAAAUUGAUACUUAGUUUUGAGUAUGUUUAUUUCCCUGGUCCCAUAAUAUCUUUUGUUUGGAUAUUUUAUUGUUUGCAUUGUUAUGGUUUGAUCUAUUAAUUUAAAUAAUUAUAUUUAAUUGGUUGGGUCGUGAGUGUUAGCAAUAUUGAAGACGGAAAACCAAUAAUAAAGUGUGGGAUCAAGUUUAUGUGGAAUUAGAAGAUGAAUUGUAAGUUAUUAAUUUAAUCAAAAUUAGAUUUGUUAUAGUUUAAUUUGGGUAGUAUGCUAAAAACUUAAUUUUAUAAUAAAUUUACGUCUAUAAUGUCGACUAUGGUGGAUACUGUUGUAAAUUUUUGAGAGAAUGGAGUAAACAAUGCGAUAAUAUCACCAUAUUUAUCAUGAGAUUCACUAGAAUAGAAGUCACUCGAGGUAUUCGAAUAUUGUUAUUUUUCAUGUAUAUAUAAUUUCUGAAUAUUUAUUAGUCGAUCACGUUUCUAUGAUAUUGUUUCUGAUGGUUUUGGCUACUAUUGUUUGCAAUGGCAACCGAAUGAUGCUAAACAAUAUGUGUGCUGAAAGUUGCAGGAAUGCGGAGUUGUUUUGUGUUAAGGAUCACAGAAAUUUUUAUUAGUUACUAAGCUUAAAAAAAAAAAAAAAAAAGCUUAUCUAUUUUUUUUGUUUCCAUUUUUCCGAAUUGUUUUUUUUUUCCUAAACAUGUAAAUAUGAUCUAAAAUGAAGUUUGAGGCUUUACAAAAGAUAAAUAAUUACACAAAAGCAACCUUGGCAAAAAAAAAGAUAAAAACAAGAGUACAAUAGAGUAAAGAAAGAUUUGGAAAUAGAUAAAGAAUCCAAAUAAGCAUAAGCUUUGUUCUUCUCGAAGUGAUGAUGUUUCGUAGCUCCACUCCACCAUCUUGAAAAUGAUUUGAGCAGCAAGCCGCAAGGAGUUAUGGAGAAUGUUAUUACGCUGUCGCCAGAACUUAUAGACCACCACUUGAGAUGCUACUUUUCUAAGCAAAGAAGGCACAUGACUGGAAGAGCGUCAGGUCCAAGAAAAUAGCUCAAUCCAAGAGCAAAACAACCUUUGUUGCGGAAAAAGCCUAGAGAAAACUAAAUUCCACACCUGGAAAGAGCUCACAGAGGAGCAGAAGGUGAUCAUGAGACUCCGUUAGGCAAUUAUUUAAGUGACUCUGGAGAGGAAGAGCGUUAGGACAAAGAAAGUAACUCAGCCUAAGAGCAAAACAACUUUUGUCGAGAACAAAGCCUAGAGAAAACUAAAUUCCACACCUGGGAAGAGCUCGCAGAGGAGCAUGAGGUGAUACCGAGACUCUGUUGCAAAAGUGUAAAGACAACACUCAUCAAAUUGAAUUUGUUCCCAAGAAGCCAGUCUUUGAUGAGUGGGCAAUUCUUAAAAAGUGUAAGGAGAAGAAGAGCGUUGGGUCCAAUAAAGUAGCUCAGCCCAAGAGUAUAACAACCUUUGUUGAGGAUAAGGCCUAGAGAAAAUCAAAUUUCCCAUCUCAGAAAAGCUUACAGAGGAGCAGGAUGUGAUCCUGAGACUCCGUAGCAAAAGUGCAUAGACAACACUCAUCGGAUUGAAUUUUUCCCUAAGAAACCAGUCUUUAGCGACUGGAGAGGACGAUUGGAGAUUUAUUUAAGUGUCUCAACAGAAGAAGAGCGUUAGGUGCCAGAAAGUAGCUCAACCCAAGAGCAAAACCACCUUUGUGGAGGAUAAAUCCUAGAGAAAACCAAAUUCCACACCUUGAAAAAGCUCAGAGAGGAACACGAGGUGAUCCCCAGACUCCGUUGCAAAAGUGCAAAUACAACACUUGCCCCCAAGAAGCCAGUCUUUGAUGAGUGGGCAAUUAUUUAAGUGACUCUCGACGGUUCAAGAAAGUAGCUCAGGCUAAGAGCAAAACAACCUUUGUCGAGGACAAAGCCUAGAGAAAACUAAAUUACACACCUGUGAAGAGCUCACAGAGAAGCAGGAGGUGAUCUCGAGACUCUGUUGCAAAAGAACAAAGACAACACUCAUUAGAUUGAAUUUAGCUCCAAGAAGCCAGUCUUUUACGAGUCGACAAUUGCUUAAAAGUGUAAGGAGAGGAAGAGCGUUGGGUCCAAUAAAGUAGCUCAGCCCAAGAGUAAAACAACCUUUGUUAAGGAUAUGGCCUAGAGAAAAUCAAAUUUCCCACCUCGGAAGAGCUCACAGAGGAGCAUGAGGUGAUCCUGAGACUCCGUUGCAAAAGUGCGUAGACAACACUCCUCGAAUUGAAUUUGUCCCCAGGAAACCAGUCUUUAACGACUGGAGAGGACGAUUGAAGCAAGAUUUAUUUAAGUGUCUCAACAGAAAAAGAGCGUCAAGUGCCAAAAAGUAGCUCAACCCAAGAGCAAAACAACCUUUGUGGAGGAUAAAUCCUAGAGAAAACCAAAUUCCACACCUUGAAAAAGCUCACAGAGGAACACGAGGUGAUCCCGAGAGUCCGUUGUAAAAGUGAAAAUACAGCACUUGGCCCCAAGAAGCCAGUCUUUGAUGAGUGGGCAAUUAUUUAAGUGACUCUCGACGGUCCAAGAAAGUAGCUCAGGCCAAGAGCAAAACAACCUUUGUCGAGGAAAAAACCUAUAGAAAACUAAAUUUCACACCUGGGAAGAGCUCACAGAGGAGCAGGAAGUGAUCUCGGGGCUCCGUUACAAAAGUACAAAGACAACACUCAUCGGAUUGAAUUUGUCCCCAAGAAGUCAGUCUUUUACGAGUCGGCAAUUAUUUAAGUGACUCUAGAGAGAAAGAGUGCCGGGUCCAAGAAAGUAGCUUAGUCCAGGAGCACAACAACCUUUGUCGAGGAUAAAGCCUAGAGAAAACCCUAGAGCUGGCUACAAUAUUUUACGAAUUUGUUGUUUACCAAAUUUUUAUAGGAUAUACGAUAAAAUUGAUUUUUUGGAUGUUUAGAUGUUUAUUGUGUUGUUGUGAAAGCUGGAAACAUCACGACACCCAUUUAUGUUGCUGAAAGAGAUGAAGCUCCUAAUCAUUGUCACAUUAUUAAAUUCGAAAUCAAGAACUAUUGGUACCUUCGAAAUUUCUGUUGUUUGUAGUUGUGAGCGUCUCCGGUAUCGACUAUCGUGGUUUUAUGUCAAUAAAUUUCUCACUGAGUGGAGGCAAUGUAUUGAUGACAUUACCAUAUGUAUAUUCAGAUUUGCAAGAACUGAAAUGAGUGAAAGUAUUUUGUUUUGGUUUUGUUAUUUAACAUGUAAUGUUGGGGUUUGAGACAUUGAAACUAUAUUCCUUUGAUAAUUAAAGUACACGAAGAGGUACUGCUUCAUACAAGUGUUCGCAGAUUCUAUUCAAUCAUUCUUGUCAUGAUGCGAGAUAUCUUUUCCAACAAGAAGAAAGGACAAAUGUCACACAUCCAAUUUUGAUCUUUUGAUUAUCUUUGGUUGUUGAUGAGCAAACCAAGACUACUAAAUUUAUACUUUCUGGUUCUAAUGAUUUUAGUUUUCCGUUUUGCAUUUUAUUAUAUUCAGAGGAUAAUAAUCACUAUUUUCUCGCAAUAAUAUAUAUCAAACGUUAUGGCGUUUUACCAUAAUUCUAUAUUAAUGUCGUUAUAAAAAUUAUACUCUUGACAAAAUUUAAUCAAUAAUUGUCUAAAACUUAUAAUCCUAAAUGACUAAUUCGGGUUUUAAUCAACAUACAACCCCGCGCCGGGCGCGGGGACCUCCCCUAGUCUUAUGUAAAAUUGUUCUUGUCAACAAUACUUGAAUGUUUUAACUUUUAAACCUCCCUUUUUUUCAGCCCUUGAAAUUUUUUUGAGCCACUAAUAUUUUUUAUAUAAGAAAAGUCAACAUCCUUUAAUUUAUGAUUUGUCAAAAAAGUUGCCUAACUUAACUCAUGGUAUAAGUAAACACUUUUAGAAAUGUUCACGCCACAUUUGGUCCUCAUGGGAUAGCUUGGAUGACUCACACACUUGUUUAUCUCCAACAAAUUAUAUUAAAUGUUUAAUUAAAAUGAAUUUUUAUUUUUUUUCCAAACCAAGUCUUAUCUCUAAUGAAGGAAGGGACUUCCAUUUUCGAUUACACCGUGAGAUAAACUGAUUCGUCAAAAAAUUAUAAUUCAAAUACAGAUUGAUAACAAAACUAAACUUAUAUAAUAGUCAACUCUGACCUUUUAGUUGCGCAAAAACCAACUAGCAGUGACUUAAACCAAGAACUGAAGCUUGAUCAAACCAAUUAUCACAAUCAAACCACUUUAUUUCCUGAGUCUGACCCAAAUCCUUCAAUCAUCAAAUAGAUCUCUUCACAAAGUUUUACAACAUUAGUCUUUCAAAACCACAAGUAAAAAUAGAUCAAACACAAAGUUUCAAGCAAUAAGUUAAACAAAAUAGAUCGAACAUAAAGCUUUGACACAAAGAAGAAAAUCAUUAUAUCUCUCCAUCACUAAGGGCCUUCUUCUCCAGUCUCUCGAUCUCUCUAUUACUAUUAUUGGUUUUAAAUGAAAGAAACUGUAAGUGAUUUAAACCAAGAAUUAUCGUCAAAAAACAAAAUUUACACCAAUAAGUGAAGCUUGAUCAAACCCAUUAUCAGAAUCAAGCCACUGCAUUUCCUGAGUCAAGUCUUCAAUCAUCAAAUAAAUCUCUUUCGAAAGAGAAUGAGAUCGGUCUUCAGCAUUAAAGGCAUUAACUUGAUUUCUAAUCUCAAUCCAGCUCCAACCUGGAACUUUCUUUACACCUCUCUCUUUCAUCAUCUUCUUCACAUUUGCUUUCUCUUCCCAUUUCUUUAGAUCACUAUACAUAUGAGACAACGAAACAUAGGCAAAAUGAUCUUCUGGUUCGAUCUCUAGCAAAUGGUUAGCCACUUGAGUAGCCAUCUCUAUCUCUCCACAAGCCCUGCAAACUCCAAGGAAAGUUUUCAACACCAUUGGAUCAGGAUUCAAUGGCAUUGAUUCGAUUAACUCUUUCACUUUGUUCACAAGCCCUGCUCUGCCUAAGAGAUCAACUGCAGCUGCAUAAUGUUCCAUUCGAGGUUGGAUUUUGUAAACCGGUUCCAUCGAGUUAAGUAACUCAAGCCCCUCUUGUAUCAAACCCGUGUGGCUACAAGCUGUUAGAAUUGCAGUGAAGGUUACGUGGUCUAGUUUCACGUUUUGGUUACACAUUUGAGAGAAGAGAUCAAGAGAGACUUGGCCUGAACCGUGUUGAGCGUAGCCUAGAAUCAUCGCGUUCCAGGCUAUUGUAUUGUGUUUGGAAGAAAUCUGCUCGAAGCAUUUUCGCGCGUUCUCAAUUACUCCACAUUUUGAGUACAUCAAGAUCAGAGAACUGGUUACAAACUCGUUUGAUUCGAAGCUUGAUUUAGUGGCAAGAGCGUGAGUCUGCUGACCUAACUGGAGUGUUGCUAGGUCCGAGCAUGAUCUGAGAACUGCAGAGAAGGCGUAAUCGUCGACUUCUAUGUUUGAAGAUCUUAAGUAGCGAAAGAACUUUACUGCAUCCUCGCUGAGACCAUUUUGGGAGAACCCUGUCAUAAUCGAAUUCCAAGAGACAAGAUCCUUAGGUUUUAAGGAUUCAAAUAGAGACAGAGCAUCUUUCAUGACGCCUGUAGGAAACUGAAUAUACAUAGAGAUCAAUGCAUUUGAAACAGAAGUAACUUGCUCCAAUCCCUUCUUUAUCACCAAACCAUGCAAAGACUUUCCAAAACUCUGAUGUUCUUCGCCAGAGCAAGCACUUACGAUGCCGGUGUAAGUAUAAAUGUCAGUUUCGAUCCAAUUCCUAUGCAUUUCAGUAAAUAGUUCAAAAGCAGAUUCCUUUUGCUCGUGUUUAGAUAAACCUGCGAUCAUCGAAUUCCACGAAAUCAAGUCUUUUGAGCCACCCAAGCCAUCAAAAACUCUCUUCGCAUCGGAUACUAAACCACAAUUUGCGUAAGAGCUGAUCAUCGCAUUGCAUAUAGUAAUCUCAUGUUCAAGCCCGAGUUUCAAAACCUUAGCAUGAACUUGCUUCAACAAGUUACAAAACAUCGGAUCAUCAAGCAAAGUAAGAAGUGGAGCAAAAGUGCCAUCGUCCAUAGUCACAGCAGCUUUCAUCUCCAUCAAACCCAACAACCAAAAAGCAGUCUUGGUAUCUCGCACUUGCACAAAUCCAGCAAUCAAAGCAUUCCAUGAAACAGAGUUAGGCUCUAAAAUCUCCAUAAAAGCCCCAAAAGCAUCUUCAACUCUUUCACAUUUCGCGUACAUAUCAACAAGCGAACUUCCAACAUACACAUUACACUCAUAACCUCCCUUUACAACCAAACCAUGUACUUGCUCCCCAAGAUCGAACCUUUUCGCAGAAGCAAUCCCUUUCAAUAACCUACUAAAACUAUACCCAUCAACAUAACAUCCACAUCUCUUCAUAUCUGUAAACAAACACCAUGAAUUCUCCAAUUUCCCACAGCUUGUGUAUCCAGAAAUCAUCGUGUUCCAAGACACGGAAUCUCUCUGAGGCAUUUCAUCGAACAACUUAUGUGCAUAACCCAAGAAGCCAAAUUUUAUAUAAGAAUCCAAAAUUCGAUUGGAUACGUAAGUAUCGGAGACGGAACCAUAUUUGAUGGCGUAACAGUGAGUGACGGAAAGCUUUUGGAAAGUGUUUAAAGAGCUCUCUAGUAGAGAGGUUAACAAAGCUUUCAUUCAUCUGUUUCUCUGUGUUCAUGUAAAGUCAACGAACAAGUCAAAAAGAACCUCUCUCUUUUCUCAACAUCAAAGAUAUUUUAUUACUAUUUUUAUGUAAAUAAAAUAUUCUAAAUAUGUAUUUUUGUCAAAUAAUCAGUUUAUUUUAAAUUUAUAUAUUUCCGAAUUUACAUAGUAAUGGAUAAUCAAGUGGCUAGUUUGUGGUAAUUUUAUGUGUUAAUAACCUUAAGUGGAUUAAUUAUAGGUUUAUUCAGUAAAUAGAAAUACAUUUUGAAGCUUGAGUUAUUUGUAAAAUGGUAUUUGUUUCCUCUUUUUUUUUUUUUGGUUUUAGUGUUAAGAUUUCAUUCCAUGGAGAAAAUUACAAGCUAAGCUACAUAGUACAAAAUUAACCCAUUAUCACAAGAACAAAAGACAGAAUAGAGAAAUUACAACGGAUAAAAAAUGAGAAAAUUAGAAAUAAAUGAUAUCUACUUAAAAAUUUGUCUAUAUAUCUUUUUUUUUGUAGAUUGGUCAAAUAGGUUUUUUAAAAAUAAAAACCCAACUUUACCCUCAUUUUCUCUCAAAAUUAAUAAAAAAUUGAUUUCAAAAAUAAAACUUCCUGAUUUAUUUACAAAAGUUAAAUAAAAAUCUAAAGAAUCAAACCUUCCACUUGAGAAAGAGUCUCUCAAUGACCUAUACCUAAUUAACUAUUUUUUUUUUUCUGUCGUAGAUGAACAUGUCGGGAUAAAAAAAAAAACCCUACCCCACCGCCGUAUCUCUGCCGACUGCGUGUUAUCCGGCAUCGUUGGUCCUCCGGUGUUCAUCUGGGCGACGAUUGAAGAUUGAAUCAAUAGGUUCGUUGCUCUACUCUUUUUUUGUGAUUGAAUUAUGUCUUUUUCUUAUCUCAAGUCACAAUUUUCUGUUACUCGUUUAGAGAUUUGCGUUCAUAUAAACACAAAUUGAAUUUGAGACUUGUAAAUCGAUGUGAAUCUUUUUGUUUUCUCGAUUUAGUUGCAAGUCACAAUUUCAAUUUGCAUGUAGAGUUGUUAAUAUCUUUGAAUUCGUGUAACUCGAUUAGAGGUUUCAAUUUUGUGAGUUUUAAAAUUCCAAAUUUCAAUUGUGUAGAUUGAAUAAGUCUUUCGCUCUUUGAUUCAUGUGAAUGUAUAUGUGUUUGGGUUCGAAUUCAUUGAUUUAGACAGAGUUUUAUGACUGAAAUCAUGUCAUCUUCUUAUAAAACUAGAAGUGAAUAUUUUUGUUCUCUUAUUGAUCUGUUUAGUUCGCUAUUUGUAUGUGUGUGUGUCAUGAGUAGCUCAAGUACGUGUCUUGUUUAUUUUUUUAGUUAUAGGUAUUGUCUCUUGUAAAUCUUCUUCAGCUAAGUCAAUUGUAAAUCUUUUUCAGCUAAAGAAAUCCACAUAUCGUCAAUGAAAAUAUCUUUUAUCUCUUAAUUCAUGUUUAAAUCUUUAUUCAAGUUUGUUUCUGCAUGUUGAAAACAAUCUAGGAAGCACGAGUAAUUAGUUACUUUAAUUUAACAUACAAUUUUUUUGUUUGCUAACUGCAACUAUGCACUAUAAUUAGUCAUAACUCUGAAUGGUUUUAUUUAGAUAUGUUUGCUUUUUAUGUGCAGUCACUGCUAAGGAGUUUCACAAGCGCCUUUUCGUACAUGGUAAAGAUCCUAUCUUAAUUGAGCGAAUGAAGAACUAUCAACCUACAUCAAUCGUCGGAUAUCCUUGAAAUUGAUUGAGAUUAAUUAGCAUUAUGGUUUUUUUUUUUAUCAUCAAAACAGAUUACGUACUAACUAGUCUUGUGACAUGUAGUUUGUAUGACCUUUGUUUUUUUUUUCUUAUUAUUUAGGCGUUUUAUGAAUUUAACUUCGUAACGACGUUGCAGAAAUAACUCCAUUAAACAAUAUAAAUCUACACUAGAUCAAAGAUGAUCAAAUACUGAAAAAUAUAUAUAAAAAAAAUAAGGUACUAAGAUGCCGGCAAUCCACACAGUGCCGGCGUUUGGGGUGUGCAAGUGGAGCAAUUGUACCGGGUCCAAUUUUUUUGGGUAAAUUUAAGGGCCCAAUUUUUUUUUUUUCGUAUAGAAAAAAAUGUAAUUUUUAAAACUUUAAGAUAUAUUUAUUAUAAAAAGCUUAAAUAUUUUAUUUAGUAUGAAAGUGGUUAAUUUUUAAGUUUUUUUUUAACAUGAAAAAGGCCCAAUUUUUUUUUUUUUGUAUGAAAAUAGGCCAAAUUUUAAGAUUUGUACCGGGACUCAAAAUUAAUUGAGCCGGCCCUGAAUCCACAGUUACACUUCUUCAGAACUACAGAAGAUCUACUCACAUUUGAAGUACCCGUGACCAAAUCCAUCUACGCAAAAUCAAUAAAUCCUGAUUGAGACAUUUUAUCGAACAACUUAUGUGCGUCCGUUGAAUCGUCUUUUAAAACCAAAAUAAACACACAAAUAUUUACAAUUACAUGCAUUUAAUAGAUCUAUUUUUGGAAUAAUAAGGGAUCAAACUUUGAUUAAACCUGAUGCAACCUCCCCAAUUUGCUUGAAUCGUCACAAGUAAUCACUGUUUUCAAACCGUUGUGCCAAACGAGUCUUUACUUUUCUCUAUUAGUACUUGUCUUCCUUAUUUUUAGAAUCUCCGGCUUAUGUUAGUAUUUGUUUGUUAGUAAGUUUCUUGGUUCAUGUAUAAUUUGAUGCGUAGACAACGACUUCUACAUCUUGUAGAUUGUAAUCUAAAUAAUAAAUAUUCAUUUAAAACGUAAUCUCGAAAAUAUAUAUUGUUUCCUUUUUUGAAGAUUUACUUUCUAUGUUUAGAGUAUUAUAAAAAUUUCAGAAAACGAAAUCUACAAUAUCGUAGAAUUUACAUUCUAAACGAAGAUUACAAUUUCUAACGAUGGCAGAAGAUGUAGAAAUUAGUAGAACGGCUAUUCUAAAAUAUUUAGAACAUAGAGCAAAGCGUAGAAUGCAUAUUCUAAAUAUUUUAGAUAUAAGAUUUUCGGACUUCUAAAAUUUUCAGAACAGAAAUCUAGUCUAAAAUAUGUAGAACAUGUACAAAAAUGCAGAAUACACACUCUGAGUUACGUAGAAUUCUAGAAAACGUGUUCUAACAAAAUUAGACGAAACUUCAUCUAUCAAAAAUUCAACUUUUUUUUAGCCAAAUCUAAAAAUUUUCACUUCAAAUCACCCCUACUCUUGUAUAUCUACCUGUUUUUCUAAUAAUAUUUUUUUUUUAAAUAUUUAAAAUAGGGUGUAGGGGUAGUUUCGUCCAAAAUGACAAUUUCACCAAAAAGGUAUAUAUGGACAAAUUUUUAAGUAGAUAUCCUUUAUUUCCAAUUUUCCCAAAAAAAAUACUAAAAUAAAGAAAUUACAACAGAUUUCAUUUCUUUUUGCAUCGGUGUUAUUUCUUGCCUCGGUUUGUAGCUCCCAAUCAUGCGUAUCACGACCUGAUUGCAGUCAUUUGAAAAAUUCUUGUUUGAGUCAAACUAGAUUUCGUUGAUUAUCUUUCUCUCAAAAUUCUUUAGUUUCCUACUUAGACCUGACUGAAUUUUCUGAGUUUCGUUUUCGUUUCCCGUGACUUUCACCAAAAAUCCCUAAAAAGGCUAAAGAGUUCACAAUACAUACAAAAAAAAACAAUCAAAGAUUCAAAUGAAUGAAAACUGAACUUAAAACAACUCUAAAAUACGAUAUAAAAAAAAAUCAUUAGCUGUCUAUAUACAUUUUAGAUAGAAAUUGAAAUCCAAAAUUGGUCAUUGCCGAAAUAAAAAUAUAAAUUUUCUUAGCCAUUUUCAAAUUUCUUUCCAUUUUUUUUUAAUACAUUUAUAAUUUGAGUGGGAUUUGAUUAACAUAUCACAAACUAGCCGUUGUAAGCGCAUUUCCGAGGAAGACUAGCCGUUACGCUCUCAUUCCCCUUUUCUUUUUUAUUCUUCUCUCAAUUUUAUUUUUUUCCUUUACAAAAUCAUCAAAACCCUAAGCGUCGAAUUCAAUUUGCUUCCACAGAACAAUAGAUUUUCAAAAUCACAGAUCCAAAUCGCUUCUUCAAUGGCGUCCAAAACAGUGGCUGCUAAAGAUAUCAUCACUUUACACGGAUCUGCUGCCAUCGUCAGCGAAUUCUUCUGUGCGUAUUUUCAAUCUCUCACACUCAAAUUUCGUGUAAUUUCACAUUCAUUCUCUUCGAUUUGAUGCUUUUUCUUCUUCUUCUUCCAGGUUACGCAGCGAACAGGUUAGAAUUGAAUCGGUAUUUCAAAUUCAGUUUCUGGAAAUCUCCGAUUAGAUUGGAUAUUGACUCGUUUUGUUGUUUUGAAAUAUAGUAUCUUGUAUAAUCGAGCAGUUUAUCCAGAGGAAAGUUUUGUGAAAGUGAAGAAAUAUGGACUUCCGAUGUUGCUUAUUGAAGAUGAAUCCGUCAAAUCUUUCAUGUCUAAUCUCACUUCUCAGAUCUCCGGUAAUGUAUUUUUUUUUUAAAGAACAGAACAAUAGAGAUAGGUUUGAGAUAUGAUUCUUUUGUGACUGAUUUUGUUUUUGGUCUAAAGAAUGGCUUGAAGCUGGGAAGUUGCAGAGAGUAGUGUUAGUGAUAAUGAGCAAAGCUACUGGUGAAGUUUUGGAGAGGUGGAAUUUUCGGAUUGAGACUGAUAAUGAAGUUGUUGACAAAGGGUCAGUCUUUUUUUUUUUUGAAAAUUGUUGAAUGUGAUGUUCUUGUUUUCAUCAUCUUUAUGGAACUUUCAGUGUGUCGAGGGAGAAAAGUGAUAAGGAGAUCAUGAGGGAGAUUCAAGCUAUUAUGAGACAGGUUGCUUCAAGCGUUACUUACUUGCCUUGUCUUGAUGAAACAUGUAAGUACCAAAUCAUAGCAACUUUGAGUUACCAUUUCAACACUAGUUUGGGUUUAUUUGGAUUUUCAUUUUUUAUUGUGUUUGUUUAGGUGUGUUUGAUGUAUUGGCGUAUACGGACACGGAUGUGGCUGUUCCAUUCACCUGGAUCGAAAGCGACCCCAAGUUGAUUGCUAAUCCACAGAUGGUUAAGUUACACGGGUUUGAUACCAAGGUAAGGAGGAGGAAGAAACUUGAAACCUCUAUUCCGAUCACUUUGAAAUGUCUUAAGUGUAUUGGUUUUCAUUCUCUGCAGAUUCACAAAGUCGACACGCUCGUCUCAUACAAGAACGACGAGUGGGAUGAAGAAGAGUAACAGAAGUCGGGACACGUAUGCAAUGCUCUUUGUUCAGCUUUCGUUUAUGUCUUUGGGAGUUCUUAAUGUUCUAAAGGCACGUGAAUCCUUUAUUCACCCCUAUGCUUUUUUCUGUUUUGUUCUUUCUGAAUUGUAUGAGAAUUCUGUACCUGUGUUGUGUUGUGUUUCGUUCAAAAGUUAUCAGCUUUUCCAAUGUCCCUGUCCCUUGCAUUGAACAAUCUUGGGUGAAAAAGAGAUUUCUAAAAAGCCAAUCAAAUUUCUCUGAUUCACAAUGGAAUGUCAAAAGAGGUGCAUAUUUACAGUGACCGAUGAAAAUAAAGGUUUUUGGAUAAAAAAAAAGAUCUCUAAAAAGCCAAACAAAAAUCUCUCUGAUUCACAAAGAUGGAAUGUGUAUUUACAGUGACUGAUGAAAAAUAAAGGUUUCUUCUAGCCUUUUGUAGACCCAUUUUCUCAUCUCAUUCCUCGGUAUAAGACACCGGAUUGAAGAUCGUCCAUAUUGUCUAUGUUCCGAAACGCGUCAAUCUCUCUCAGACAUGUCCAUCCUCGUCGAGCCAAGAAAUCUCGGUAAUCUUCUUCGGUGUAGAAUAUCUUCUCCUCUUGAUGGACCGGUAACGGAUCAGAUUCAUCAUAGUGGCACACUCUAACGGCUAUCCCUGAAUUCAAUUGGAUAUUGAGAAACCUCUAACCAGAGAGUAUUCAAUGAAUAGCAGAGAAAGAGUGAAUUUACCUUCAUCAACACGGAGUGUAUAGUUCCCUAAAGGCAUGUCUCGGUCAAGAGAGCGAAUAACCUGUUCUUCAUCUUCUAGCCAAAAAGCUCGUCUUGUUCUUAAUCUAAACGCGGAUCUGAUAGCUUCCUUGAUUGCUUCAGCAGUACCAUCAAUCCCAAAUCUUCUUGUAUAAUCUCCAAAUUUCACUGUUAUGAUCCUCCCAACAAAUGGCUGACCAUCACCCCCUGCUUCAAACAUGAAACCGAGAAUUAGUUGUCAUAUAAGUUCAAAAGCUUGAUGAAAAACAAAAACGCUUGCAAUCGAAGAGGCUAAGUUAUAUAAGCUUUUCUGGUUACUUACCAUUUCCAGCGGUGUCUCUCCAACUCCAAGGAGGAACUCCAUUUGCCGUGACGGGAUCAGCAGCAAUGGGGAGGGGAAGACCAUCAUGAUCAAGCUGCGUUUCAAGAUUUAGCGUUGGCCUGCCAUUAGCUGCACACAGAUACAACUCAUAUAAAGACUACACAACUUCCACAAAUCAAACAAAAUGUCCAAGACAAAAUCGGCUUCACAUUAUCACUAACAUUCUAUAAUUUGGUAUUGAGUUCACUUUUAUUUCACUGAAUAAUAAAGCAAUCAUAAGUGCACAAUUGUUUACCCAAAGCUAGGACCGAUACAACCAUUUCUCUCAAAGUAAUUCCCCAACUAAAAAGGAAUUCAACACCACCAUUUAUAUAUACACACAAGAUUCAAGAAAUGUGAGAUCAAUACCUUCAACAGAUGUAAAUGGAAUACCAGUAUCUUCAAAACCUACAAGAAGAUAAAAAAAUAAAGAUCAAUUUUAGAAGAAAACCCAAAUUUACUAUAAAAAGUCAAUAUAGUUUAACAACCAAAUCAACAACUUUAUAAUUAGCCAUUAAUGGUCAAAAUCCUCUUAACUAGGUUUAGCACUAAAAGAGGAACAACACUAAAGAUCAGUCUUUUUCUUCACAAUCCAAAUCCAAAUCUAAACCAACACCCAUUAACAAAUAUUAUCAAAACCUGCAAAAAAUCCAUCAGAAACCCCAAAAUCAAGCAAAAGACUCUACCUUUAUCAGUAAAUUGCAUAAAGGAAUCAACUUUAGCAGAAGAUGGUGGAGUAGUAGUAGAAGGACUCUUAUACAAGGCCACUUUCUUGUUUCUUUCUGUAAAAAUGUCUUCAAUCUCUUUGUAAUAAGACAUCUUCGUUGAUCCUCCACUUGUUGCUUUAUCAUCAUCUUGAUACUUAGCUUUCUUAAACUCUUUCAAUAUGUUCCUCCACUUGUCCGUACACAUAGUUGGUGAUCGAUCAAACCCUUUCUCUCUCAUUUUGCUCGAAAUCUGUUCCCAAAGAUGUUUGUUAGAUUUAGAUGUGUUGAAAAGAUUGUCCAUUUCUCUCCGUAACGAGAUUAAGCAUCGAGUCUCGUCUUGUGCCCAUGUCUCUGCUCGUUUCUUUGGUGCUUUGAUGAUCUCAUGAUCCUCUCCUCCACUGCUAUCUCCGAGGAUGAUCUGAUGAUGUUGUUGUUGUUGUAUCGGUAGAUCUCCGUUUGAUGAUGUAACAUCGAUCAUCAUGUUCAUGUCCCGUGAAGGAUUGUUAUCGGAAACAAACAUGUUUUCUCCGAGGAACAAGGAGAGAUAGAAGAAGAUGUCAAAGAAAACAACACUUUUUUCUUUUACCAUAUACGCGUGGAAUCAACGCGCUGCUAUAAGAGCGCGUCCCUUUGAUAUUUAGUCAAAGCUUAUUAUCUUAAAUUGUUUGAAUAUAAUAAGACAGACAACAUGGAUCAAGAACAAUCCAAGGUUACAAACUUUAAAUCCAAAGAGUAAUCUUCAUGAUAAUUAUAACAAUAACAAUGUGUCCAACAAAGAUGGAAAUGGAGCAAGUUUUUAUUAUUUUUAAAAAGUUUCUAGAGAUAGUUGAAGAUCAUCUCCAUUGAGCAAAGGUAUAUCACCAACCUGAAAAACCAGUCCUGGAUUCAGUAUUUAAGAAACGUCUAACCAAAGAUUAAUGAUCUAUGAAUAGAGGCAAAUUUACCUUCACCGAAAUGGAGUUUAUGAUCUCGAGUAAGAAACUAGACAACCAAAUGAUUAUCUAGUUUCUUGUCCUAAAUGAUGGUAUCCUUUAGUGGCUUCACAAGUGUAUACCAUCAUCAAAUACAAACACUUCUUGUGUAGUCUCCGAAUCCAAAUUCCAUUUACCACACUCAAUAAACAGACCUAUCCUUCAUCAUCCUUCAUUGACAUUGAGUUUAUGAUCUCGGUCAAGAAAGGAGGCCAACAAAUUUCUUCAUCUUUUCGAUCAAAUGAUCAUCUGCUUCUCAACCUAUAUGCAACCCUGAUGGCUUCAGCAGUGUACCACCAAUGCCCAAACUCUUCUUACUAUACGUAGUCUCUGAAUCCAAACUCAAACCACUAAAACAGCCGACAAAUCCCAUCACUUGCUGUCAAACAUACUACUCAGCCUCUUUCUUGGGUUUUCCUUUUGCACAAUUCACAACAUCAUCUGUUUCUCAAACAGCUUCAACAGUACCAUUACUAGUCCUCCCCCACCAAACUACCCUGCUUCUUUCUUGGAUAUUUCUAUUCCUUAUUCUUCUUUUUUUUUUUUUGUCUUUUCUUUGUCAAACCAAAUAAGUAAUACUAAUAUGUAUACAUAUGACAACUACACCCACGGGAAGAUAUAGUUCCCACAAACUAAAGCCUAACCAUGGAGACUGAACCAUUCAAUCAUAUAGAAAAGAAAGGCUCAGAUGGAAUUUUAUACCUAGAGAGUUAACUUAGGGGCCGGCUUCGAACAAACAGCACACAAAAACUCUAGACAAAACGUUUCUUCGUAUUCGCUGUCAUUGAUGCACCGACCACAGUGAUAACACCUCUGUAUGCAAAGAGAACAAGCACGGCAUUCCUCAGAACCUUUCUUUUUCCCUUUACAAUCUUCUGCUGGACAGUCAUACACAAGCCUAGAAUUUUGACACUUUGGGCACAUCUCAAUAUCUAGCGCCCGGUCAUCAUCACAGGACACACAUGCAUCUCCUCUAUGGUAAAAACGCGGCUUCUGAAUAGUCUGCUCGACUUUAUUGUCUAUGUUCAACAAGUCAAACAAUUCAUCGUAAUGAUCUUUAGUAACUCCAAAGAGGCCACCAAUUUCUAAAUGCUUCACUUGAAGCUUUCCCGCAUACUUCAGAUCCCUCAAGAUGCUCAAAAUACCAUCAAUAGUGAUCCUUGUGCAUCCAGGCACACCAAGCUGCCAACCACAGAACAACAUUAGAUUUAAAUAAAAUCCCACAAAUCAAUUCAACCACGAAGCACAUCUAUAACAGCUUAUUAGUAAUCCAGAUAAACUUGAGUAAAUAAAGGAAAAAAGCUCACCUUGACUACUUGUGGGUUGCGCUCCAACACCCGCUUAAGACAAUCAUCAGUAAUUCUACAGCAAUCUACGAGCCUCAAACACUGCAUAGUACCCUGAGCCCUCUCAGUUAAAUGCAGCAGAGCCUCUUCCGUAAUCUUCUCAUUCAACGGUUGACAAAUGUGGAUAUGCUUCCACAAUAACGAGUCAUUACAAACAGUAGUAUGCAGAGACUUGCAAACCAUACUAACUGAAAGAAGAUCCUUCACUCCCAAGUGAUAAAGACAAAAACCAAACGCUGGAUGAAUAUUUGAAUCCUCUCCUCCAUUACUGCAGCGAUCACUACUUCCUACAACUCCACCAUUCCUCGCAUCCUCGAGGCUCAAUACCUCAUCAACACUACUAGCAGAUAUGAAAGCACCGUGACAAGAUCCAUCACCAUCAAAUGCUCCUCCAAACACAUUAUUGUCCUCACUACUCUCCGGGAAUUUACAUGCGGAAAACAAAGACCCAUCAAAUGCCCCACCAAACCCAUACAACGACUCCGAUCCAUUACUGUACCCACUACUCUGAAACUGCAUUGCAUUGUUCCAAAUGAAACUCAAUCCAGCAAAGAGCUGCUGAUGGUUUCCAUCACCAAUCCAAAUGUCAUCACUUCUUCUUCCAUAUUGGUUAUUAUAAUCCAAAUCCUCAAGCCAUCCAGUAAUGGCCGUGAAAGUAUUGUUGAUAUCCAUACCAAACGGAUCAGAUGGCAAAACAUCAAGUAUGUCAACAGAAGAAGAAUCUCCAUUACUCUUCCUUCCAUUAUCAAAACUUGAACACCAAUUCCCAUUGGCUAUCUUCAUUGGUUCCUCAGAUAGAUGAGAAGCAAAGGGUCUAUGUGAAAAAUUUAAAGCCAUUUCUAUUAAAUCUCUAUAUACACUUUAAACCUAAAAAAAAUCCCUCUUUUGUACACAAUCCCUGAAAAAAAACUCAAAACCCCCCUAAGAAGAUAGAUCAGAUCCGAAAAAAACUAAAGGUUAUUUUUUUUGGGUUAUCGAAAGGCGAUAGAUCUAUGGACAGAAAAAAAGGAAACUCUUGAUUUCAGAUGGCAACAAAAAAAUACUAGGCACCAGAAAUUUUCAGAGCUUCCUUGGAACCCUAAAAAACCUAGAGAAAAGAAAUUCGAAAUUGAGACGUAUUAACAACCAAAUUGGGUAACACAAAAAGAAUGAAUUGAAUAAAACUGAUUUUUUCCCUUUUUUUUUUGUUUUCUGUUUACUCUUCUUCUUCCUCAAAACAAAACUAGGGUUUUCAGAAAUUUCGAAACCUAAUCCUAAACAUUAUCAAGAAGAAGAAAGAAAGAUAUGAAUUUUGAAUCUGUGGGAUUGAAUUGAAGAAAUUGAAUCAAAGACACCUCUGUUAUUUCCUCACCCACGAAGAAGAACAACAACGCGAUCAACGGGAAAACCAAACCGAACCCUCGCCGUGAAACUAAACAAGAUCUCCUUUUUUGAGGGAAAUCUUCAGACUUUCGAAUUGGGAAUCAAACAAUUCUCACUUGGGAUUCAAAGAAGAGAGAAAGAUGGAGAAAGAGAGAGAGAGAGAACAGGUUGGUGAAUUUCGUCGACCGAGUCAAGAGAGAAAAUGAUGGAAAGGACGAGAAAAUUGUGCGAAAAAUCUCAACUUUUUUUUUAUUUUUAUUUUAGGGGUUGAGAUUUUACGUGGGAGAGAAAUAAAUAUAAAACUGGAGACAAAAUAAAUUUAAAAACUUAAAUACAAUAAAAUGGAAUGAGAUAAGAUUAGGGUAACGGUGAAAUUGUCAAAGUCUUUGGAAUAAUGGACACGUGUCAUUUGUUUAGUUCUUUGUCAUUCUUUCCAUAUGCCAACAAACUAGGGAUAUCUUAUUUUCUUGUUCGUUUUUUUAAAUCUAUUAUCCAAUAAGAGAUAUUUGAGUUUUUUUUUUUUUUUUGUCGGCCAUUUAGAUUCAUUGAUAUAGCCCAAAUGGGCAAAUUACAGAAAGUCCAGUAUACAGAAGAUUACAGCGAAAAUAAAGCUUAGGUCCUAACUAAAUCUUAAUUAAAGAAAAUAAAAUAUUGAAGCACAAAAGAUUUAGAAAUUGACACGUGUGGGAUAUGUGAUCUUCUCGAAGCUACGCGUCAAGCCGUGGAGUAGCAUCGUCAACGUCGCCGGACAUCGCUGGAUCGCCGAUUAGUCACCGCCGAUCAGCUCUGAAGCGAUGAGAAUCCUCUUGCUUUCUGCCGAUCUCAAUUCCUAGCCAAACGUCAAGAAAUCUCCGGAUCGAAUGAGAAAAAAUAGCUUCAAAUUCAUUCGAGCAUCACUAUCUUCGGGGAAGCUCCAUCACUAGCCACACCCAACUUGAUGUGGUCAGAUCUUUGCUCUUUCUUCUUUGAGCAAAAGGAAUUGAUGAAGAUAUUACUCCUCGAAAAGAUUGGAAGGAUCGGAGAGAAUUUUGAAGAAAAGCGGAGAUAAUAACGGGCUUAGAGAAAAGAUAUCAAAUCUCGCUAGUGCGAGAAGCAAAACCCGGACAGAGCCGGUACUGAGAAUUCCGACAAAAGCCGGAAAUUAUUUAGUUCGUUCAAAAAACGAAAAUAUGUACAAUUCCGGUGAAGUCCGAAAUCAAAACCGAAAGAAGACUUCUCCACUCUGAAAGAUUUAAGAUGGAUAAGAGAAGAGAAGCUUUUUAGAAUUUCCGGUUAAUAAUUCCGGUACACCGGAAAUCGCCUUCUCUCUGAGAGAGAAAGCUCCCAUUCUUUUUAUUUUAUUCUCUCUAUUUGAGUUAAUUAUAUUAGGAUGAUAUUCAACUACUUAUAUAUAAAAUACAACCAAUUACGAUAAACAAUGUAUACAAAUAAUAAUUUUACGCUGCAAUUUUUUUUAUAAUAUUCGGAUUUCCA